RNAcentral lists this long non-coding RNA (79291 nucleotides) under Capsicum annuum. RNAcentral's name for it is "long non-coding RNA (CANN_LNC008649)". Lineage: Eukaryota; Viridiplantae; Streptophyta; Magnoliopsida; Solanales; Solanaceae. The record is from RNAcentral.
AGUUUUCAGCGCCGUCCACAGCACCUCGAAGUUCAUUAAGCCACUGGCUCACAUAUUGAUUUGAUGCCUGCUUGUUCUCUGCAUCACUUAGCACAGCCUGAAGGCCAACCAAAGUCGUUUUCAGCCUCCUUAAGAGUCGAGCAUCAUGCUUAUUCUUCUGAAACAUCUUGAGCAGAUCACCAUGAGGGGCAAGCCUAUCAAAGAGAACAUUCAAAGCUGAAGAGAGAAAUGCACCACCAACUGCUAAGCCAAUCUCCAUUUCUGAAAUCUGCAAAGCAAAACGAGGAGCCACAACAAUGGUUUUCAGAAAUCAAAUAUUAACAACUUUAUUUUACCUGUUCGAAUGCUAAGAGUAAUUUGCAAACAAGAAUGAUCAGUGAGUUCUCUCCCUCCCUCCAAUCAAACUAAUACACUUAAAUUGAAACGAAUACAUUACUAUUAGGAAUUAGGCCAAGACAUUGCUAUUGAAAAGUAGUGAAAAGGACUAGAGCAAGGGGACAAAGACAGCACAAGUUGUGCCAAAAGUAAUUGAUGCACUUCAUUUGUCACCAAUCAACCUAUUAGGAAGGAAGGGAUAUCGGAGAGGUCAUUUGGUGGGAGGUAUUAGAAAAAAUAACCCAUGUAUUAGUUCUAUUAUUCAUCCUAUUCAAUAGGAGUAUUAUUUUUAUACAUUAAAAACCAGGACGUUUAAAAUAUGGGGUACUAUUCAUAUUCUUAUACACCCAAUAUUUUUAAUCCAACAAACUAAACAAUCAAUUAAAAGUAACGUCAAUGAUAUAUUCCAGUGAGAUGGUCCUCAAAACUCAAAAUACUCUUCACCGGAAAAUUGUUCAUCGACAAUAUCAUGUACGAACUUUCUCCUCAAGUUUAUACGUGCUCAAACUCAGGUAGACACCCGUAUCCUAUGUAGCGUUUUAGUAUGUAUAAGUGGUAAUUGAUUUGUAUUAUGUCAUAUGUGUGUCUACUUAUUCAGAGUUGGAGGGCGCACAUUCGAGUGAAAGUCAAGUUAAAUGACACGUUUAUGUAUGAGAAAAGUCAUAAUGUAACGACUGAACUUGUCCGAGAUUUUCAAAGAGAUACUUUAACUUUGCGGGCGACCUAUUACCCCCACAAAAUUAAUACAAAUCGUUGUAAAUGGACCAUUUUGACUCAUUUUUUUCCUGUGCGUGUCGUCACGCAUACGACGCGCGUGAUUAAAAAAAUGACUGCAGGCACCAAUUAAAAAUUGUCACGCGUAAUUAAAUUUAUCAAUUAUUUAAAAUCUCUUCUUCUCCUCUCUUGGCUCAGCGGUAAGCUUGCUUACCGUGGUGUGCCAGGGUCGGGGGUUCGAAACGCCCCUCCAGCGAAGCUGGGGUGAGGGAGCGUAGGUCAGGCCCGGAGUGGUCCCCCCCCUCCCCGACACCUAUGGAGUAGGUAUGAACCGGGUCGUCCCUUCUCCUCUCUUUAGAACUACCAUGUCCCAAAAUCUCCAUUGUUAUGGCAAUUGAAGCUUUGAAAAAAACGACUAACUCUUUUGUCAAACUCACAUCACAAUCACCACCACCGCUAACAAUCAUUAUAAUAUCAACCAUCACAACUAUCACCACCAUCAACUCCAAAAGGAAAUCAGUCUUUUUGUUUUACAUACAUCAUGCAUCCAUGAGUUUCUCCACUCAUCACACAGCACAAAAUGAAAAGCAUUUCAACUCACAUUGAAAAUCAAAAAAAAAAGUAAGGGUGAGAGGGGCGAUGCAAAAGAAUCAAUCAUACUGAAAUAUUUUGUUAAUUGUAAUUAAUGUAUCAUUUAUAACUUGAUGAAAUGAAUUGGUGCAUAAAGAAAGAACAAGUUACCUGCUUGUUUUGUUGAUCUGUCAAUUUCAAAAUUGAGUCCCUAAAGCUGCAAGAGCAACAAAAACAUACUUCCAGUCUCAAUAUUGAAAUCUUAAGUAGUUGCUUCUUGAUAAAACUACUUUUGCUAAGAAAGUUGAAUAUAAAUUAGAUGCAAAAGAAAGUUCUUUUUUUUGGGGAAUGGUAAGAUAAGAUGCAAAGCAAAACAAAGGAACCACAAAAAUGGUUUUAAGAAUUAUGAGAAGCUAAUGUUUCUAUCUUCAAAUCAAAUAUUUAACAACUUUAUUUUACCUGUUGAAUGCUGAGAGUAACUUGCAAACAAGAAUGAUCAGUAAGUUCUCACCCUCUCUCUUUUGCUAGUGUUCUUACUUGUAAUUGGUACAACAAAGUUUGCUACUAUUAUUAACUACAAUAUACAGCUGACAGUAUAUGACUUUUCAUCCAACAAGAAAGCAAAGACUUCAUAAUAGAGUGGUUUUUUUGACUAUUCAUCACUUUCUAAAUUGAAUAAUUGAGGCAAGAGAGGAAGGGUACUUGUGGGGACCCAAGUGAGGGACUCAAAAAUAGAAUGUAACUUCAUCUUGUCACAUCAAGAAUUUGUUUUAGAACUGUGCAGAAUUGAAUAGACCAAAGUGUGUGUGUAAGCAGAAACUACCAACCUCUACCUACCAUUUAAACUCUGUAGGAUUGUUAAGUGAAGAUUAAUCAAUAAAAUAAAUCUGUUAGAACUAAUACACUUCCUCCGUUCCAAUCUAAGCGUCUUGCUUUCGUUUUGUGAUCUGUUUUAGAAAUAAUGUUUCUUUCCAUAUUUAGUUAGUUUUUUAAUUCUAACAUUCUACACGAAAAGCUUAAGACCAUAAAAUCAUAAAAUUCAAGUUUCCUUUUAUUUUUUAAAAAUCGCAUCCAAUCAAACUAAGAUAUUUAAAUUGAAAUGAACAGUAUUAUUGAGUUAUUGAAAUGAAUUGAAAAGGACUAGAGCAACGGGGCACAAAAGUCCAAGACAGCACAAGUUGUGCCACAAGUAAUUGAUGCACUUCAUUUGUCACCAAUCAACCUAUUAGGAAGGAAGUGAUUUCACAAAAGUCAUUUGAUACGAGGUAUAUUAGAGAAAAUAACACAUAUAUUUUCAAUUCAACAAAUUAAACAAUCAAUUAAAAAUAACGUCAAUGAUAUAGACAAAACUCAAAAUACUCUUCGCAAAAAAAUUGCUCGUCGACAAUAUAAUAUCUUGUUUGAACUUUCUCCUCAAGUUUAUACGUGCUCAAACACAGGUAGACACUCGUAUCCUAUGUAGCUUUCCAGUAUGUACAAGUGGUAACUGAUUUAUACAAUGUCAUAUAUGUAUCUACUUAUUUAGAGUUGGAGGGCGUAUAUUUUAAUAAAAAUCAAGUUAAAUGAUACGUUUAUGUAUUUUUUUUUUUUUUCCCUUUACAAAAAAUAUGACUUUUCACCUUACAAAAUUGAGUAAUUGAAUUUUUCACCUAACGAAAAGGAAAAUUGUCCUUUCUUUUGUAAAGUUUUUAAAAAUUUUCAUGUAUGGUCACAUCAUUAUUAUGAACAUGGGGUGGGGUGACCUCUGUUGGUAUUAUAAUUGAGUUUUUAUGUUAGAAAAAGAAAAUCAUGAGUUCUUCAUAUUUGAUUAAUCUUUCGUAAAAAGUUUUAGACGUUAUAAAUCGAGGUUUUUUCCGUCUACUGUGAUAAAAAAUUUUAAUGCUGAGUAAAUUGUGUAACGUUGUCCCUCUCGAUAUUUUAUAUUCUUUGAAUUGCUCAAUUCUUUUGAUGAAUGUAGGUCGACUGAUCGAAUCACUUUAAAUUAUUGCUUCUCUUUUGGUGUAAUUUUUGCAUGUCUUCUUAUUCAUGGUCUUUUUAGAUUUGCUUCGCUAGCUUCCGCAUGACAUGUGAUUAUUUCGAUCCUAACAAAUGGUAGUGUGAGUAAGGUUCAAAAACUCAUUUUGGCAGCAUCGGUUCUUGUAACGCCCCGAUUUUCUGAACCGAAACGCUACACGGUGCUCAUGACCCCCAAGGACCACAAGCUAACCCAUGACUGAUAUCUGUACCUGUAAACUGCAUAAUAUCUUAUAAAAUAUACGGAAACAUGAACUGUAAGACCAUAAGGUUCAAUACUGAUACAUAUCUGAAAAACAUGGUAUAACAAUAUCAAAAAGAAACAUAAAUACUGAAGUCUUAACAUCUAAUCUGACAUCUAGUUCGAAAGCCUCUAACUGAACUGAAUAAGGAGUUGAAGGAACAUGUCUCCAACUAACUCCGUGAACUGAAAAACUAAUCUGAAAUACUGUAAUAAAGUAAUAAUAAUAUUGUCCUCGAAUGAAGAGGAGCACUGACUGCUGAAAUCUGCAAUGCUACUGCUGCUCUGAAACUCGUGCCUCUGUACCUAUGGCGUCAAAUAAAACACCAUAGUGAGAAUGCGCCAGUACGACUGAAUGUUCUGAGUAUACGAGUGAGGUAGGCUAAAUUCAAAGGGUUUUAUAUGCAUGAACAAUGCUGACUGAUAUGAACGUGAGAAUACAUACAUACANNNNNNNNNNNNNNNNNNNNNNNNNNNNNNNNNNNNNNNNNNNNNNNNNNNNNNNNNNNNNNNNNNNNNNNNNNNNNNNNNNNNNNNNNNNNNNNNNNNNNNNNNNNNNNNNNNNNNNNNNNNNNNNNNNNNNNNNNNNNNNNNNNNNNNNNNNNNNNNNNNNNNNNNNNNNNNNNNNNNNNNNNNNNNNNNNNNNNNNNNNNNNNNNNNNNNNNNNNNNNNNNNNNNNNNNNNNNNNNNNNNNNNNNNNNNNNNNNNNNNNNNNNNNNNNNNNNNNNNNNNNNNNNNNNNNNNNNNNNNNNNNNNNNNNNNNNNNNNNNNNNNNNNNNNNNNNNNNNNNNNNNNNNNNNNNNNNNNNNNNNNNNNNNNNNNNNNNNNNNNNNNNNNNNNNNNNNNNNNNNNNNNNNNNNNNNNNNNNNNNNNNNNNNNNNNNNNNNNNNNNNNNNNNNNNNNNNNNNNNNNNNNNNNNNNNNNNNNNNNNNNNNNNNNNNNNNNNNNNNNNNNNNNNNNNNNNNNNNNNNNNNNNNNNNNNNNNNNNNNNNNNNNNNNNNNNNNNNNNNNNNNNNNNNNNNNNNNNNNNNNNNNNNNNNNNNNNNNNNNNNNNNNNNNNNNNNNNNNNNNNNNNNNNNNNNNNNNNNNNNNNNNNNNNNNNNNNNNNNNNNNNNNNNNNNNNNNNNNNNNNNNNNNNNNNNNNNNNNNNNNNNNNNNNNNNNNNNNNNNNNNNNNNNNNNNNNNNNNNNNNNNNNNNNNNNNNNNNNNNNNNNNNNNNNNNNNNNNNNNNNNNNNNNNNNNNNNNNNNNNNNNNNNNNNNNNNNNNNNNNNNNNNNNNNNNNNNNNNNNNNNNNNNNNNNNNNNNNNNNNNNNNNNNNNNNNNNNNNNNNNNNNNNNNNNNNNNNNNNNNNNNNNNNNNNNNNNNNNNNNNNNNNNNNNNNNNNNNNNNNNNNNNNNNNNNNNNNNNNNNNNNNNNNNNNNNNNNNNNNNNNNNNNNNNNNNNNNNNNNNNNNNNNNNNNNNNNNNNNNNNNNNNNNNNNNNNNNNNNNNNNNNNNNNNNNNNNNNNNNNNNNNNNNNNNNNNNNNNNNNNNNNNNNNNNNNNNNNNNNNNNNNNNNNNNNNNNNNNNNNNNNNNNNNNNNNNNNNNNNNNNNNNNNNNNNNNNNNNNNNNNNNNNNNNNNNNNNNNNNNNNNNNNNNNNNNNNNNNNNNNNNNNNNNNNNNNNNNCAUGGCUCUAGGCACACAGCUAUAUUUUUCGGGUACGAAUACCCCCAGGACUCGAUGGAAUGAAACUGACAUGACUUGACAUACAAGAGUACUUGACCAACAUUAACAAUCCAUAAUAUAGCAUCUACGAGGAAUCCAUAAAUCAUGUGGUUUUCAUAACCGUUUCAUAUAGCUAACAUCAUGGUCAAUUCUAAUAUCAUGACAAGCCAACAACAUAUUCAUAGCACAUUAAUAGUAUAGAAAUCAUCUUGAUCAAGUAGACAUGGUAUAACUUAAGAGACAUGGCAAAAUCUUGGAGCAUGAAGACUAGGUACUUGAUCAUCAUUUAUUCAUUGAGGCACAUUAUCAAACACAUGGUAGGCAUAGCUUUAGCAUGGGAGUNNNNNNNNNNNNNNNNNNNNNNNNNNNNNNNNNNNNNNNNNNNNNNNNNNNNNNNNNNNNNNNNNNNNNNNNNNNNNNNNNNNNNNNNNNNNNNNNNNNNNNNNNNNNNNNNNNNNNNNNNNNNNNNNNNNNNNNNNNNNNNNNNNNNNNNNNNNNNNNNNNNNNNNNNNNNNNNNNNNNNNNNNNNNNNNNNNNNNNNNNNNNNNNNNNNNNNNNNNNNNNNNNNNNNNAAACAACAACCAUCAACAUGUACAUGAUCAUAUCUCAACAAGACAAUCACAAUAUAGUAUUUAAAGCAUGGUUCUUGAACUCCUACGGAUGAAAGGAAUCCGUGGAUGAACACUAUGCAUAUCUUAGUUCUUGAUUUUUGGAAGAUUGACGGAGAGAUUCGUGGAUUUGAGUCUUGAAUUUGGAUUUCCUAUUGAACCCUAGCCUUGUUCUUGAGAGGUUUUUGAGAGAAGAGAGUAUAUUUUGCUGUAAUUGAGCAAAAAUCCCGUGUUUGGGGUAUAUAUAGGGGUGGAGGAUGACCAAAUUACCCCUAAGAAAAAAGAAAAAGAUGAAGUUGUCCCUCUGUUGACAGUUUUGAUAGGCUGUAGUAAAUUGAUCAUAUCUUUAGUCAGAUGUUGGAUUUAUAUGAAACUAAUUUCAUUAGAAAGAAGACUCAAAGAGCUUUCUAUUGAUAUAUAGCAGUUCUCCCAGUUCAUUAUAUACAGGAAGUUAUGAUCAUUUGAAAUUGACCCUGAAAUGCUGGAAAAUAAACUGGGUACAAACGCUAUAAGAGGGCUCCGCGGCUCAAACGCUCACUACUAUAAAAAUUCCAAAACUCACCCGGAAUGUACUAAGAGUUUGAUCGAUCGUAACGCAACUUGAAAAUCCAAAAACGGAGGUCGAAAAGGUCGUCAAAUAAAUCCCCGAAGUUCGGAGGUAUAAGAUGAAACUAAGUGUUUCUAACACUUAGCAAAAUUCUUCUAAGUGUCGGAUUUCCUUAUCAAGCCUUAAGGAGAUGAAUUUGACUUAGGAUUUUUACGGGGCCUUACAGUUCUAGCCGCAACCUAUUUGACUAUAACAAAGAUUUUGAUUUGAGAGAUAAAGAUGGAGAAGAUUAAACUUGUUAAAGACUAUGUGAAGAAAGUAAAACAAAUUUAUUUUGUCAGACAUUUAGAUUUUAGAUCAAGGAGGAGAACCUCUAGAAAAAAAGCUAAAAGGAAGGUGCUACGACUUUUUUUUUUCUUUUUUGGUUCAUUCUUUUUCUAAGAACAAAAAAUUAUUUUUUUGAUUUUGAUUUUAUAAAAAAAAAUUAUCAUGUGUUCUUAGAGAAUGGUGGCGGUCUUUUUUUUUUUUUUUUGUCGAUGAACAAGAUAGCUAUGAUGGAAGGUUUGUUAAUGGAAGAAAUAUUUAGUGGAGAAGAAAGAGAAAAGGAAUAAAAAGAAGGAAAUAAAAGAAUAAAAAAAAAGUAUGUUUUUAGGCUUUUCACACGUUUGUUUUGUGUCUUAAACAUGCAACUUGCCAAGUGUAUGAAAAAUAUCAAAAUGACCCUUCUACAAAUGUUUAAUUGAGUGUUUAGAAAAAUUAUGACCAACUAUAGAUAUGUCCAUGAAUGAUUCAGCCAAAAGAAAAUCAUAAGCUUAUCUUUUCACAUAUCAUAAGGGGUCGUUUGGCAAAGUGUAUAGGAAUAAUGCUGGAGUUUAAAGAAAUUAUGUUGAAUAAGAUGUAUUAGUAAUGCUAAUAUUUGUUAUAGAAACAUCAGGGAGUAAAAAAUAAAAUGACAACCUCAUCUUUUCACAUCUCAUUACAGUGUUACUUGGGCAUGGGUACAAUAGAUAUCUAAUUACCAUAUUGAAAUUUUUUGUUCAACAUACCAAACUACAUUCUUGUAAACAAACUGUUCUAGUAAAUUAAAUUAAAGGUGGCCUUAACAAUGUGUUAGUAGAAACUACCAGUGUCAUGUAAAAAGAAAAAAAAGGAACAACAAUGUCUACUUAUGUUUUAACUCAGUAAUAUUAUUAAGUAAAUAUAGUACAUUAUCAGUUCUGCAACCAUGUGCUCUAUUCUCAAUAUUGACUAUUGGGUCAUGGAAAAUUUAUAACUCCAAAAGUAAUAAAGUUCAAUUGUCACCAAUCAAUCUACCGCAGAAACUUACCUCUCUUAACUAUACACCUAAACCUAAUAAAAUCAAUGGGAAGGGGGUGGGGUGAAUGGGUUGGGGUGGGUGGGGAUGGUUGUUGGGAAGGAAAGAAUUUAGACAUCAUUUGGUAGGAGUAUUAGCUUUGAUACUAUUGAACCCCUUUCCAAGUGUACGAAGAACGUCAAAAUGGCCAAGUCGAACCCUUCUACAGAUGUUUAAACGAGUGUCAAAGUGAAAAGUGGUGUCAACUUUAGACGUGUCGAUGGACCAUUCAGCCAAAAGAAAACCAUAAGCUUUAUGUUUUCAUGAAUAUGUGCAGAAAAUCUUUCCUUCCCCACAACCAUGAUCCCCACCCCCCUUCUCUUCCUAUUGAUUUUUAUUAGGUUUGGGUGUGUAGUCAAGAGGGGUAGGUUUUGAGAAGGACCAAUUACUUUUGGCACAACGUGUGCUGUGUUGGCCCCAUGCUGUAAGUCAUUGUGGAUCCAGCAUCCACCAGCGACUUUCUCAAAAUCCUCUUCGCCUCGCCGGAACUUUGAAGAAGAUGACCGGAAAUAUAUUUUCCCGGCAAAAUAGAAAACUUUACCGCGAAAAUUAGUUUCUACACGGGUGUGUAUACAUAUUUAGUUUUGUACUUAUAAGUAUUUUUGAAGGGCAUAAAUGGCAAUAUGUAUUACUCCCGUUUUAAAAAGAAUGACUUAUUUCUUUUUUAGUCCAUUUCAAAAAUUGAGCUUUUUGUUUUUUGGCUAUACUUUAAUUUCAACUUUUCACGUGACAUGUUUAAGACCACAAGAUUAAAAGAUAUUUUGAUAUAUUUGAUUAAAUUUUAAUUUAAGGCCACAAAAUUUAAAAACGUUCAUUAUUUUCUUAAACUUCGUGUAGCAAAAUCGAUUAUUCUUUUUGAAACGAAGGUUGAGUAUGUUUUUGUUGGUGGAUUUUUUUCGUUUAAAAAAGAUUGACCUCUUUUCUUUUUUCAGUAACUUUUAAAUUUUAACUUUUCACGGGACAUAUUUAAGACCAUAAGAUUGAACGAUAUUUUGGUACAUUUGACAUAUUUUUAAUUUAAGACCAUAGAUUCAAAAGUAUUUUUUAUUUUCUUAAAUUUUGUAUCAAGUCAAACUAGUUAAUUCUUUUUGAAACACCAGAAAUAUCAAUGGUUGUUGGGAAAUAAUAUAUGUGUUAGAUUUGGUGCUAUUUAACCCAUUGUCUGGUAGUGUUUUCAACUUAUACAACUCGUUUAAUAGAGUCUAUUAAAAGACAAAAAAAAUGUAUUCAUUAGUCUUGUGUAUUACUCGUGCCUUAUUUGGUACAUUUUUAGUUAUAUAUUUCAUUGUAUAUUGAGGUGUGUAUUACUAAUAUCUCAAAAUCUAUGACAUUAGUAAUGCGGUGAAUCUUAUGCAAGCAUUAGCACGAUUAAAUAUACAGUUAUCUUCUAAAAAAAUUUCCGCAUUCUUUCCGAUAUAUAUAUGGACGUGGAGAAAACAUGUUCUUUUCUCUUUGAUGGAUUUUGCAUGCUAGAGAAAGGAAACCAUCGUUUUAGGUUAAUUUAAAUUGGGUAGUAUGUAAUAUCACAAGGAUCAAAUUCAUUUUCGGUAGAUUCUUGAACAAUAUGACGACACAUAUAUAUCAAGACUCAUUAAAUUAAUGCGAUCAUAAAAAAUUUCAACAGUACAAAGAAAUAAGAUUAAUUACAUAAUUACAUCACUGAUCUUCUUCGAAAUUUUCAAAAAGACACCUAAACUUUGAAUUUGACCUAUUACCUCAUGAAUCUUUUUUAUUCCGUUGCAAAUACACCAUUUUGUACCUUUGCGUGUAUACACGCACCACAGACGCGUGAAAGGGCUCAAAUUUGAUUUUUUGACCAAUUAAAAGCUGCCACGUGUAAAUAAGUUAAUAUAUAAUUUAUAUUCUUUUUUUUUAAAAAAAUAUUUAUUUUCUUUUUAAAUGUUACCUCGUACCCCCCUCUCUCCCCCCCAACCAUUUUUUCUUCAACACCAUCAAAUCCUCCAUUAAAGCUUCAUUGAAGCUUUUUUUUUUUAAAAAAAAUAAUAUCAUUAAAGCUUCUCAUUUUGUAGUUAAUCAUAUCAUUUAACUACCCAUUAAAGAUCCUCAACACCAUUAAAGUUCCUCCAUAGCUCCUCCAUUAAAGCUCCAAUGAAGUCUUACCUCGCAUUUUUGCCAGAGGAUAUUUCCAUAUGCAUGAAUUGGACCUAGCUUGACUUGAUGUUGAGUUUGUUGUUGAAAAUUCUAAUAUUCAAGACAUAGUUGAUUCUAUAUGUAUUUACAUUAUAGAGGAAAUUAGGUUUCCUGAAGACCCAUUCGACGAUGGGGUAAAACAAGAAAGCCAUUGUCACAUCAACAAAACAAAACACACGAUAGACAUUGAUUGCUAGUAUACAAAGAAGCGAGCCUUAGAACCUUCUGACACGUUUUAAAGUCGUGCGAGCCUAAUCCAAAACCAAAAGCCAACAAUACAAGUUAUCACAUCCAUAGUCUUGAUCGAUGUACCAUCCAACAUGAGAAUUAAGUACCAAUCAAAGCUUCAAUAGCUUUCCCUUCUCGACUUGUCCCUUCUCGACUUGAGCAGAGAUCUUUGAAACUUUUUCACUUCCCAAAUAAUCGUUGAGCAUCAUCAAAACAAUAUGUUCUUUUGUGUGUUCCAUUACACAACUUUUAUUCACAUGUACCUUUGGGUUCCAUUAGAGUUGUGUGCUCCAUCUGCAGCAAAUCAUGCUUCAUAUAUUAUUAUAUUGGGACAGUCUCUUUUGAUAUGAUUCAGGUAAAACUACACUCACAUUCAUUAAAUAAGAACUCUUAACCGAGACAACGAUGGAGACCGUAUAGCAGUCAAUUCCUAAUUAAGACGACUCGAUUCACAUCUUUCUAUUGGAAAUGAAACUUCAAGCAUGGUUGUCAAGGAAGAGAAGAAGAUCAUGGUUUAAUAUAACUUGAAAGGAGUACAAACACUUACUGAUUGAUUUGAGAGGCAAUGCUUUGUGAUUUGUUGGUGCAAUCAAGUGAAAUUUUCUAUUUGGUGGAAAAUUUGAAUGUUUGAACAGCCAAAUCUAUAUGCUGAAUAGUCAACAGUAGUAAAAGAAUUACCUGCAUAAACUUUACAAUUCUGAGAGCAUAGUGUCAUCCUCACCUAUAAUAAACUAGUGGACCUAUUGUAAUUAGGACAACAUAUCAGUUCUGAUAGCUAAUAAAACUGGAUCAUGUAAGUGGUACUAGAAAAUGACUACUUCUAAUUGGUGUUCGAGCUUACAGAAUUUGGGUGGAUCAAAGUGAUUGCAGCGAAGAAUUGAUCUGAAAAAUCCAAUAGCAGGUAUAACCGACCGACAUCCCUGCUUUUGCCAGCAUGACAGCAAGCACUGGCAGAAAGGAGUCAAUUGAAUAAUCAAAGUACCAGUUGCUCCCACUUGUGACCUUUGAGCGUCUUGACACCUUAAUAACAAGGAAGCCCCCCUAUUCCAGAAAUAAGGGAAACACCUUUUGUCGCGUCACAUGAUUACUGAAUGACCGUACCGAGGAAUUCUACCAUACUCCGUGCGCUAUGGUUAUUGGUACUGCAGAUUCUACCCGAAGUUUCAGUCUAGAUUGUAGUCCAGAUAUACCCUAGUGGUCCAUGAAAUGGGUUGAGAACCACAAGGUUCAAAUCUAAACGGAGACAAAAAAACACUAGGUGAUUCUUCCCAUCUGUCCUAACUUUGGGGGACAACGUUACUUGAUAUUUGUUGCUAGUCGGAGUUGGCAGGUAUUCCCUACGUGAAAGCUGACCUGGACACCACAGUUAUCCAAAAAAAAAAAAAAUAUUAUAUUCCAGAUAUUCUGAUCAAAGAGUAGUACUGUCAAAUUCCACACAAAAGAGAAGCACUUCUCUUCGCUUACAGUUUGCUCGUAGACCCCAGUCGAGGUGAUUGUCCUUUCAAGGGAGAAUGCUAGCAUGAUUUUCCUUUCACCAAUUGACCUAAGAGCUUAUUGUUACCAAAAUCCUGAUCAAGAAAAAAAAAGGAAGAUUUAAAAUUUACUAAUAGUGGAAGUUAAGUAAUUCAUUGUUCUAAUGCUUUCAGCUGUUAACCUUUCAUACAACAACAUACCCAGUAUGUUAGCCUUUCGUAUUUUUUUAUAUAUAGGAACCAAAAAUUUUUUACACAUGUACCUUGGAUAUUCUAUUAGAGAUUCUUCAUUUCCGUAGGGCAAUAAGAUUCUACACGUUAUCAAAGCACAAGGGUGAACAUGUGCAGCUCUAAACCGCAUCCUCUUUGCUCAAGUAACUGGAAAAGGGGAAAAAACAAGAAUCAUUUGAUGAAAAACAUCAAGUAAUGCAUGAACUAGCCAGGCGUAUUCGCAGCGAUACGCCUAUUUCAUCUCUAGAUUUUUCAAAUAAAAAAUGAGUCGAAUUUCAAAAGACCUAUACAUCCAGGGCUGACAUAUCAAUGUAUUGUGAAUGAUAAAAAGGCUUCUAAUUUGUUUAUAUUUCAUUUUGCUAUGAACUGUAAAAACCAAGAGACAGUAUUUGGGAAUUUUCUUCUCCUUAUAUUCCUUGCCAAUCACAUUUAUUUAUAUAAGCUAAUGGAAGGGAAAGAACCUUCUAUUCUAAGCUAGACAAUGAAAGAGAUCAUUCAGCUAUAGUUAGACGAUUCAAUGGUUGUUGGGCAAUGUUCUUGUUUGCUACUGAAUUGCUGUUGGGCCGCUUAUUUGUUGUUUGUUUAUAAAACCCAAAUGUGAUAAUUAGAGUAGGAGGAGGACAAGUGCAGUUGAACUAGAACUAGCUUGACGUUGAGUUUGUUGUUGAAAAUUCUGAUAUUCAAGACAUCGUUAAUUCUAUAUGUAAUUAUAUGAUAGAGGAAGGCAGGUUUCUUUACCCUGAAGAUCCAUUCGACGGGGUAAAACAAGAAUUUAGGGAGUUGGUAGGUGGAUUGAAAAUUAUGACAGUGGGCAAAGUAUUAUUGAAGAAGAAUAUCAAAAGAUCUUAUUAGUUACAAACUAUUUAACGAUAAAUUAGUAUUAAACUUCGUAGCUAGAUCCUAUUUUUUUCUUUUUUAUUUUGUAGUGAGCAUAGAAAUUAGAAAGUGAUUAUACUCUCUAAAAACUAUUUUUGAUUGCACAGUUUCUGACAGUUCAUGCUCUUCCCUGCGAUUCCAAGAAUUGAUGGAUUUAACACAACGAAGACAAGAUUGGACAACUCCUACAAUGACAGCGGUUCAUUGUAGGAGUAAAGUAAGGAAAUAACGAAUAUCAUGUUUUUUUUUUUUUACUAUAUAAAAAUGGAUCCUAAUUAACUGAAUUCCGAGUAAAGUAAUUAUGAUAUGUCAUAUAUCGCUCACAUGCAAUUUCUAAUGCUGACGAAGCUAGAAGAACAGAGCAAUGUCAAGGAAGCAAGCUGUUAAUUCAUCUCUGAUAUCACUGGUUUAACGAUUAAUCAAGAACUGAAGGUUUCUCGAUUGUUAAACAUCUCACAUAGAUUUAUAUAAUACACAAAUAGACACUUGUAUUUGCACGAAAUUCGGUUCCUAGUCCCCAACUCUAUGAGUUCUCAUUCAGACAUUUGGCAUAGCUGUAAUAUCAUAACUUUUAACUUCAUUUCCAAUGCAAAUCAAUGCUGAUUUUCAAGUCAACAUUCAUCAAUCAUUAGUAUUACCUAUCAAAUGUCAUGUUGUUGAAUUGUCGAAGAUCCAUGAAUAAAGCUACUUAAUGAAAAAAAGAACGGUGUUUGAAAAUCUUCUUUCAACUUUUCUUUUUUUUGCUUUCCAAGUUUGAUGCAGUUUUCUUACAUUGAAAAAGCAAAGUAUACCUCAUUGUGCAUUAGAUAUUUUUUUUUUCCGACAAUUCACGAAAUGAUUGAACAACUCCUGCAAUGAUAACAACAAACUGAAACUUCAAGCAAAGAGAAAAAAUGUAAAACACCCAAAAAAUUUAGCAUUACACCCAAGCUUAUAUUUUUAUGACCUUUUUAAAAAAAGUGAAAUAUGUUUCCCAAACACAAAACUUUACCCAAAACUUCACCCAAUAGCUUAACAAGGGAAAAUAAUUAACAAACAAGCAUCGGGGAGUAAUAAGCAAAACUUAAAAGCUACUGAGGAAACAGAAAAACUUACAUCUGCGGGAGCUUCGUUUUUAUUAAUCAUCACAGGCAUUCGCUUUCACCUAUUGAGACGCGGAUAUAUAUUUCAGGAAUAUGAGCAAUUUUUGGCCAGUACUCCCCCUUGUCAAAUUUUAUGAGUGGUUCGAUCAAUGGGCAACUGGCAAUAUUUAGUUCAGAGAGGGAAGAGGGCAUCCCUUUUACUGGAAGUGAUUGGAGAUUAGGGCAAUUCUCGAUGAUCAGCUUAGAGAGGGAGGAGGGAAACACUGAUUCUGCAAGAGAUUGGAGUUGAGGGCAAUUGCUGAUAAAUAGACUUUGAAGCGGAGUGAGGUGCUGAAGACCUUCGGUCGGUAGUGAGUGGAGCUCAUCAUGGUCAUAUAAACAUAGCUUAGAAAGAGAGGAGGGAAGCCCUUCUUCCAGAAGUGACUGAACUUGAAGUAAAUUAAAAGUCCGCAGGGAUUCAAGAGAGGUGAGGCUGUUGAGAACUUGACUGCUUAAUGUUUUCAGAUUGCCUAUGGUAAGCCUUCGAAUAGAGCAAGGCAACUCCCAAUUCUCACCACCAACAAUCUCUUCGUCACUGCCAUUGUGGAAGAUGUACAACUCUCUGAGAGACAGGAGUCUCUGUAAACGCCACUCCUUUCGGCCGUUCACCAGCUUCUCGCAAUCCCUGAUGUCAAGGAUUUGUAAAUUGAAGGGCAAUCCUCCAUCAGGAAAGGACUCCAUUUCUGGACAAUUGCAGAGUCGCAGUUCCUUAAGAGAUGGAAGGAGUUCCUGCAUACGUUCUGGCAGCCGCUUCAGCUUUUUGCAAUCUUCCAUACUCAAUGACGUCAUCUGGGUCCCACAUGCCACCGAAGAAAGUAGUAAUUCAAGAUUCUCACAGCAAUAAAUAUAGAGUCUUUCAGUCCCAUUAGGAAUCAAAAACCUAGUAAGGUUUUGGCAUCUCAGUACCCUCAAAUAGCGUGCUCUUGGGACCAACUCAGGUGAUGAUAUAGAAUCACAUUCAUCCAGUUUCAAUUCCCCCAGAAACAUGUUAGAAUUCAUCUUACUACUAUCUGGUGCCUCCAAUUUCAAUUUCCGGCAAAGACGUAUCCUUAUUCUCUUCAACGUACUCGGCAGAGUGCUAAUAGGCAAGGAGGUAAGAGAGUUGCAACCACUAAUAUAUAAUUCCUCAAUCUGCUUCAUUCCCUCAAGUUGGGAGGUAAACAGUUUAGCUUCAUCAAAGACAACUCCAGCCUUAGGAGAACCAUCAACAUGAAACCAUUUUAGACUUGAAAGUUGGAUGGGUGUCUCCAAAUUGAGUUCAGGACAUCUUGAGAUUCUCAAAUUCGUCAGAGAACAGAGAUUCUCAGGGAACUUCCCAACCAACUUGGGGCAAUCAUAAAUGAAAAGGUUCCGAAGUGCUUGAAACUCUCCGUUCCCUAGUACGUCCCACCGCUUCCACUCUGGCAUCUUUGCAAAUUUAAGCUCCUUGAGAGAGUUUAAAGGCUUUUCAGAGGACAGACUACCAUAGAAGUUCUCCGUUAUAUCUGUUAUCGAAUGCAUCUCUCUAAUGGAAAGGAAUUUCAAACGAGGAAGUUGUCCUAGUGCAGGCAAGGAAAAACAGUCCUUGCAGUUGCUAAGAGACAAUCGUACUAGCAGCUUAAGAAACGAAUGAUCAGCUAGCCAGUUUGGAAAUUGUGUCCCUCUAUAUCCGGAGAUUUGGAGUUCUUUUAUGUUUGUGUGUGGGCAUAGCUCAUCAAGUAUGUCUCUUUCGGUUUGUGAAUUGUCUGCAUCACUUCCACUCCACUCCAACGAUAACUUCUCAACAUGAUUCUUCUUCUCAUCCCUCAUCUUCGCCUUCUGAGCUUCCCUUCUAUCAACCACAUUUUCCAACUCUAAAACUGACAGAGAUCCAUACAAGUAAGAUGCUUCACCCAAAUCUUCCAUUCUCCAAACACCUAGAAGAAACUUGGCUCCAACUUGCACUUGGAGGCUUUUCAACUUGCUCAGAUCUAGCGGCAUCUUCAAGAGAGAAGUGUCGCUAAUGUCAAGAUGACACAGGUUGAUCAAAUUUUCCAUCUGCAGCGGUAGCUCCUCAAAAUUUGUACAAGAUGACAGGAUAAGUGUCUCCAAGUUAUACAAUGCACAUAUGGAAUCUGGCAAUUUUUUAAUCUUUGUCCGAGAAAAGUCCAAAAAUCUCAGGAGCUUUAAUUUGAUAAACAAAGCAUCCGGCAACUCCACAAUCUCAUAACGUGACAAUGAUAAUGCCCUUAAAGAUGUUAGCCUUGGCAGUAUGUUAUGCAGCACCCUCUUGCUUAGCGUGGGGCGGUAAAGGAGCUGGAUUUCUAUUGGAAGCAAUGUCCUCAGCUGCUCUGACUUGGAAAGCCGAUUCAAUUUCUUAAAGUCACCACCUUUUCCCAUUGAAUAGGACAAGUGCCAACUUUGUUCCAGCAUAUGACAUCCUUGGCAAUCUUCCAACCUGACACAAAGUUUUGAAGAUGCAUUUUGGGCCAAAUCAUUGACAAGAUCAUGCAUUAAGAAUUUCCCUCCAUCUCUUUCAGAAGACUCUGGGACCCUUUCAAACAAUGAUCUUGAUCUCAACUCUUUAAAGUAUUCGUUACCAGAAUGCAACUUCUGUACAAGACCAUUAGCAAUCCACAAGAAAAUAACUUGCUCUUUGCAAAAUUGAUAAUCUUUAGGAUAGAUAGCACAAAAAGCAAAACAUUGCUUCAAAUGUGCAGGAAGAUCAUUGUAGCUCAAUAUCAACGCUGGUAAUACGUCAUUCAGAGUCUGCUCCCAUAUUUCACUUCUUAAAAUGUCUUUCCACCCAUCCACCUCUGAUUUGCAGCAUAAAAUACCAGCAAUUGCCUUUAGAGCUAAAGGCAAUCCUUUGCACUUGUCUGCAAUUUUCUUUCCAACCUCUUCAAGUUCUGGAUGUUCCUCGGGAUCCCUGUUUUUUAAUGAAUGCUGUUUGAAUAAAGCCCAAGAGGCUUCAUCAGACAGAGUCCCCACGUUGAUUGCCCCACUAUCCAUCAUCCCGGCAACAUUCUCCUUACGUGUAGUUACAAUGAUCUUACUUCCCAUAGCUCCUUCUACAAAAAGAUUUCGCAAGUCAUCCCACUCAUUAGAGUCAUCAUUCCACACGUCAUCAAGGACAACAAGAAAUCUUUUUCCCUUUAGGCUUUCCUUCAAUUUUACCUGUAGCUGAUUAAGAUUGUUGUCAUCCUUUAAGUCAAAUGAUCCAAUUUCUUGAAGUAACCCUUUAGUUAUUCUGAAAGCAUCAUAUGCCUCAGAAACACAAAACCAAGCUUUCAAGCCAAAAUGACCUGUCACCUUCUUAUCGUUGUAAACAAUUUUAGCAAGUGUUGUCUUGCCCACGCCCCCCAUUCCAACAAUAGGGACAAUAGUCAGAUUUUCUCCAUUUGAAUCACUUGACAAUAAACGGUCAAUCAAUCGCUCUUUUUCAAUCAUUCUACCAAGGAUUUUAGAUUCAUCGACCAAAGAAGUUGAAGGUGUUCUAGUUUCUAGUUUCUUACCCAAAUCUAAAUGCUUCUGUAAGCCGAGGUCACCGAUUUGCUUUUGCAAAUCCUCCAAUGUUUCAAUGGUUUCUUCCAACUUCUCCUUUAUAUUGAGAAAAUAAUCAUCACUCAAGUUCAGUUUGAGGUCACUUACUUGCUGGUUGCUUGUUUCUGCAAGAUUUUGAUGCCGACCUUCCACCUUAAGCCUCAAAGCCUCAUAAUUGACUUGUUCCAUUAAGUUUUCAGCGCCGUCCACAGCACCUCGAAGUUCAUUAAGCCACUGGCUCACAUAUUGAUUUGAUGCCUGCUUGUUCUCUGCAUCACUUAGCACAGCCUGAAGGCCAACCAAAGUCGUUUUCAGCCUCCGUAAGAGUCGAACAUCAUGCUUAUUCUUCCGAAACAUGUUGAGCAGAUCACCAUGAGGGGCAAGCCUAUCAAAGAGAACAUUCAAAGCUGAAGACAGAAAUGCACCACCAACUGCUAAGCCAAUCUCCAUUUCUGAAAUCUACAAAGCAAAACGAGGAGCCACAAAAAUGGUUUUCAGAAAUCAAAUAUUAACAAUUUUAUUUUACCUGUUCGAAUGCUAAGAGUAAUUUGCAAACAAGAAUGAUCAGUAAUUUGCAAAUAUCAUGCAGUGCGGUGCGGGUGCGGUGCGGGUUUUUACUAAAUCCGCAAGUUUUAAAACCGCACCGCACCGCAUUGCAUGAUAUUUAAACCCGCAUAAACCCGCUCCACAUUCAUACCGACGGAUAAUCGCACCGCACCGCCCCAUAUUUUUAAUUUUUUUCCUUUUUUUUGAAAAAUUUGUAACUCUAUUGAAAAUCAUAAUAUUUUCAAAUUUACAACUAUAAAAUAACAAUUAAUUUCUAUUAUAGCACUUUUCACUAAAAAAUUAUCAAAAAGUAUAACGUGUACAAAUAAUGAUCAAAUAUCAUAUUUUUAUUCAAAUGAAUAGAGAUGUUAAAAAAGCUAGUAUAAAAUUAUUUAUUUGUAGUGUUAUGCAUUUAGUUUUAAGUAUCAUAAAAUUUAAGUAAAGAACACAUAUAAUUUUAGGUAUAUUCACGAGAACAAUAUUAAUUUUUAGCUUUUUUGUUAUUUUAAACCUGCAUAUACCCGCAACCCGCACCACACCAUUUUAAAAAAAAAUUACUUUAACCUGGCAUCCGCAUCGUACCGCAUAACUUAAAACCCGCACCGCACCGCAUAGCUUAAAACCCGCACCACACCGCACCCGCACCGCCCCAUUGCCAUUCCUACUCACGCCAUUCUCAUUUUCUACAUCAACUACAUGAAUAUAUUAUUAUUUAUAUACAUUAACCCAUUGAAAUGAAUGAUUAUCUUAUUUUCUAUUUCUUUUGCAUUUCUUGGGGAGGAUAAAUGGGGUGAUUCACGUGAGAUCCAAUGUAGAUCGAACUUUUGAUUCACUCGUGGGAUCCGGGCAGUCGGGGGGGACACCAUGGCUCCUCUCUUCUCGAGAAUUCAUACAUCCCUUAUUAAUGUAUGGACAGCUAUCUCACGAGCACAGGUUUAGGUUCAGCCUCAAUUGGAAAAUAAAAUGGAGCACUUAACAACGCACCUUCACAGAUCAAGAACUUCGAGAUCACCUCUUUCAUUCUGGGAUGACAGAGGGAUUGUACCAUUCGAGCCGUUUUUUUCUUGACUCGCUUUUCCUUCUUGUUGCUGGAUAUCUCGUUCGUGGCUACAAUCAUCUUUUUGUCACAUCGCCUCCUUACCAUAUCUAUUGUAGUCCCACAAAAGGAGUUUGGAGAUAGUAAGUUUAUACGCAGAUUUUUCUCCUACCUUACAGACAGUAAACUGUUUUCGAUAAAUUCUUGACUUCAACCACUACCAUCACUACAAUCUAUUUCUACUAACAACCAUUUACACUAUCACAGCUAAUUGCGUCUUCAAUUACUACCAACGCAUUGUCAAACAUCGUACAUUCACUGUUCAACCAUAGCAAUCAAUAUCUACAAAACUACCAUCCACCAACUUCACAUCACAAUCACCACCACCGUUAAUAGUCAUUAUAAUACCAACCAUCUUUGUCAUCACAACUAUCACCACCAACAUUACUAGUCACUAACAUCAAUCAUUACCACCAUCACCACCAGUACAAACCAUCUCCACUAUCACUAGCAAACAUAAAUAUUUUAUUUCAAUCAAAUAAUAAUUCUGUUGUACUAAUUCCAAUAUUUUUUUAAUAUAUUAUUAAUUUUUAUUUAAAUUAUAUUUUUUUAUUAUAUAUUCAAAUAAAUAAAUUUUGCACAUUCAGAUAUCGAAAAACAAACUGUCUUAAUAAUAUAGUUUUCAGAUCUAUACACAACAUCUUAUUCAUUCAAAUUCAGACGUCUAAAUCAUAAUAAAAACAAAUGCAGCCUUAAUAGUCAAAUUUUCUCACUAGGGCGUUUUGCUAAUUGGAAACUUCAAGAGGCUUAGUAACCAAAUUUUCUCAUUAAUUAUAUAAAAUAAUAAUCUCAUCUUUCACAUCUCAUAACAGUGUUACUUGGGCAUGGGUACAGUAGAUAUCUAAUUACCAUAUUGAAAUUUUUGUUCAACAUACCAAACUACAUUCUUCUAAACAAACUGUUCCAGUAAAUUAAAUUAAAGGUGGCCUUAACAAUGUGUUAGUAGGAACUACCAGUGUCAUGUAAAAAGAAAAAAAAGAACUACAAUAUCUACUUAUGUUUUAACUCAGUAAUAUUAUUAAGUAAAUAUAGUACAUCAGUUCUGCAACCAUGUGCUCUAUUCUCAAUAUUGACUAUUGGGUCAUGGAAAAGUUGUACCAAAAGUAAUAUCAUGAUUGAGUUCGAAAUCAAGAGGGCGUCACGCAAAAGCUUAAAGCUUGCAAACCAUAGAGAUGAUGAAUCAGAUGACAAAAAAAAAACAUACUAAAAAUAUACUAUUAAUACUGUUUGGUCAAAAUUGUUAAUUCUAAUUAUGAUAGAAAAUCAAAUAAAAUAAAAAAUUCAAGACAAAUUCUAACAUUGUGCCUAAUCAAAUUAAGACACCUGAGUUAAAAUGAAUAAAAUAUUAUUGAAUUAUUGAAACGUAGUGAAAAGGACAUGGGCCACAGUAGUCCAGGACAAGACAAGUUGUGCCAAAAGUAAUUGAUGCACUUCAUUUGUCACCAAUCAACCUAUUAGGAAGGAAGGGAUUUUGGAGAGGUCGUUUGGUGUGAGGUAUUAGAGAAAAUAACACAUGUAUUAGUUGUAUUAUUUUUAUACCUUAUAAACCAUGACGUUUAUAAUAUGGGGUACUAUUCAUAUUUUUAUACAAUAUAUUUUUAAUCCAACAAACUAAACAAUCAAUUAAAAAUAACGUCAAUGCUAUAGGCAAAACUCAAAAUACUCUUUGCCAGAAAAUUGCUCGUCGACAAUAUCAUGUCCAAGCUUUCUCCAUACGUGCUCAAACUCAGGUAGCAAGGGCAGAGCCAGCCUUCUGUUCGGGGGUUCGGUCGAACCCCGUUCGACGGAAAAAUAUACUAUUUAUACAUGAUUAAAAUUAAUUUUGAUGUGGUUAUAGUAGGUGUUGAACCUUCUUCGACUAAGUUUUCUUUAAAUAUGGAACCCCCUUAGUUGAAAUUCUAAGUUUUCUUUGAAUAUAGAACCCUCUUCGUUGAAAUUCUGACUCCGCCUCUAUAAGGUAGACACAUAUAUCUUAUGUAGCGUUCUAGUAUGUACAAGUGAUAACUGAUUUGUAUUAUGUCACAUAUGUGCCUAUUUAUUCGGAAUUGGAAGGCGUACAUUCUAGUGAAAGUCAAGUUAAUUUGAUAUUAUAUUUCUAUCAAAUAGUUGAAUUGAUAUUAUUCAUAUAUAUAUAUAUGAACUCUAUUUAUAAGGAAAGGGUGUUUACUUCUUGAGAAAGUGUGACUUAAAUUCAUAUUUAUGACUUCUUCUAUUGUUGAGUUGGUUAAAUAUUGUUAUUUAAUAAUUUAAGUAAAUUUUUUUAUUUUCUUUAUAUAGGUCUACAUGUUUUGCAUUUAUAAACAACUAAUAAACGGACGUGAAUCAAUUGUUUUAAAUUUCACAAUCAAUAAAAUAAUAAAAAAUAUCAAUAUGUCAAAUUAAUAAGAUAACAGUAUUUAGAAUUUUUUGUUCUCUAAAACUUUUCGCGCAUCGGGCGGGAACGCAUACUAGUUUAUUAAUAAAAGUAAUGAUAUCUAAAUUAAUGAAUUAUAGUAAAAGCAUUUCAACUCACAUUGAAAAUCAAAAAAAGUAAGGGGGAGAGGGGCGAUGCAAAAGAACCAAUCAUACUGAAAUAUUUUGUUAAUUGUAAUUAAUAUACUGAACUGGUGCAUAAAGCAAGAACAAGUUACCUGCUUGUUUUGUGUGAUGUCUCAAUUUCAAAAUUGAGUCCCUAAAGUUGUAAGGGCAACAAAAAUAUACUUUCAGUCUCAAUAUUGAAAUCUCAGGUAGUCCUAUGAUUAGGCUUAAUGAGCUUCGAAAUGCUUAUAUUAGGAUAAGUUGUCUACAUCACAUCCAUUGCGGUGCAGCCCUUCCUCAUACCCUGCGGGAUGCCUUGUGCACCGGUCUGCCAUUUAAGAAUAGGUUAAAUUGCCGAGUGUCAAUCACGGCUUAUAAAAUUCGGAUCAUGAAUUAGUACUAUCACAUUUUUCCUUAUGAUUAGUGUUUUUCUCAAAAUAGCCAUAGUUUUACCUAUUCAAUUUGAAGACUAAUAUGCAAACAAGAAUGGUCGAAGUAUACCAACUGUGUGCUUUAGUUUAACUUUUCUCUUUUCUAAAAGUAUUGACUCAUAAAACCAAAGACUAAUUGAAUAAUUGAGGCAAUAAAGGAAGGUACCUUUUGCUUUAUGUCUAUUCAUUAAUUUUGCUUUUUGAAUUAUUUCUCCAUUUUUUAAAAGCACAUUGUAGUGCUUAAUUGGGCCUACCAUUCAAUGAAUGUGUUUUAGAAUUGUGAAGAACUGGAAUCUGUUCAAUUUUCCUUCACUCCAUUAUUAUUUUUCCUAUAUUCAACAACAACAAUAGCAUACUCAGUAAAAUCUCGCAAGUGGAGUCUGGGAAGGAUGGAUUGUACGCGGAAACUUUACCACUACCUCGUGAAUGAUCAGUGAGUUCUCUCCCUCUCUCUUUUGCAAGUGUUCUUACUUGUAAUUGGUACAACAAUGAUUGCUACAAUCUGCUAUUACCAAAAAGUAUGACUUUUCAUCCAACAAGAAGACAAAGACUUCAUGAUAGAGUGUUUUUUUUUUUUUUUGACUAUUGAUCACUUAGUUGAAUAAUUGAGGCAAGAAAGGAAGGGUACUUGUUGGGUGUAAUAAGAGGGGUAACCAAGUGAGGGACUCAAAAAUAAACUGUAGUAGACAAAACUGUAAUUUAUCAUUUUCUUUAAUUAUUAGUUAAUUGUAUUAGGUUAAUAUAGUUUACUUUUCCUUCCUUAUCAAAUAUGGUAAAAACUGUUAAAGUAAGUAACGCUUUAGUUGUGCCAAAAGUAAUUGAUGCACUUCAUUUGUUACCAAUCACCAAACAAACAAUGAUUGGCGACAAUUGAACUUUAUCAAUUACUUUUGGCACAACUUAUACUGUCUUGGUCUUCUGUGGGCUGUGUAGACUGUAGUCCUUUCCACUACUUUUCAAUAAUCCAAUAGUCAAUAUAGAUGGCUGCAGAAUUGAUGUAUUCCCUCCGUUUCAAUAUAAGUAUUUUAGUUUGAUUAGGCACAAUGUUUAAAACAUAAAAAGGAGAUUUCUGAAUUUUACGAUCUGAAAUUGAUGAUGUGUAUAGUCUUUAAAAUAUUGCGGUCUUAAGUUUUUCAUGUAGAAUGUUGGAAUUGAAAAACAAACUAAAUAUAUAAAGAAACAUUCUUUUUAAAACAAACCACGAAACGAAAGUAAGACACUCGAAUUGGAACAAAUCUCAAACUUGUAUUAAUGGUGAUAUUUUUGUUCUUGAGGAUGAGAAUGAAUUCCAUAAAAUUCCAAUUACAAUGAUACUACCAUUUUCAGAAAAUUCGUAGAAAUAUGAGUCAAAAUUGUCACUGUAUGUAAAUGUUCAUAUCUAGGAUAAGUAACUUGUUUUUCUUACUUUGAAUCAAGAAAUCGAGUUCGUUGUACUUACUGUCAUAUUUUCAGAAAACUAGUCAUAUAUAAUAAGAGUCGAAAUUUUCACGGCGUUCUAGAUAUAAAUGUGAGUAUUUAGAUAUAUAACUUGUUUUUCUUACUUUGGAUCAAGAAUGAUAAAGAUUAUAAGAAACGAAAUUGAGUUCGUUGUACUCAUAUUUUCACAAAAUUCGUCGUAAUGAGUCGAAAUUUACGCAACAUUCUAGGUUUAAAUGUUCAUAUUUAGAUUUAUAUAUAACUUGUUUUUCUUACUUUGGAUCAAGAACGAUAAAAGAUUAUAAGUAACGAAACCGUGGCCUUUGUACUUCUUGUCAUAUUUUCAGAAAAUUCAUAGUAAUUGAUGCACUUCAUUUGUCACCAAUCACCAAACAAACAAACAGUGAUUGGUGACAAUUGAACUUUAUCAAUUACUUUUGGCAUAAUUUAUACUGUCUUGGUCUUCUGUGGGCUCAGUAGACUGUAGUCCUUUUCAAUAACCCAAUAGUCAAUAUAGACGGCUGCAGAAACGAUAUAUUCCCACCAUUUCAAUUUUAGUUUGAUUGGGAACGAUGUUUAAGGAGAUUUCUGAAUUUUAUGAUCUAAGUUUGAAAUUUAGUAAAUGAAAUAAUAAGAGGAGGAGGACAAGUGCAGUUGCAGCAGAUGGAUAUUUCCAUAUGCAUGAACUAGAACUAUAGCUCGACUUGACGUUGAGUUUGUUGUUGAAAAUUCUGAUAUUCAAGACAUAGUUGAUUCUAUAUGUAAUUACAUUAUAGAGGAAUUCAGGUUUCCUGAAGACCCAUUCGACGACGGGGCAAAACAAGAAAGCCAUUGUCACAUCAACAAAACAAAACACAGGAGAGACAUUGAUUGUUACUAUACAAAGAAGCGAGCCUUAGACCCUUGUGACACAUUUUUACAGUCGUACGAGCCUAAUUAUCCAAAGCCAACAUUACAAGUUAUCACAUCCACAGUCUUGAUGUACCGUCCAACAUGGGAAUAAGUACCACUCAAAAGCUUCAAUAGCUUGCCCUUCUCGACUUGAGCAGAGAUCUUUGAAACUUUUCACUUCCCAAAUAAUCAUUGAGCAUCGUCAAAACAAUAUGUUCUUUUGUGUGUUCCAUUAAACAACUUUUAUUCACAUGUACCUUUGGGUUCCAUUAGAGUUGUAUGCUCCAUCUGCAGCAAAUCAUGCUUCAUAUAUAUCAAGCAAGCCAAAAUAGAUAGUUGUUCGACUUGGAAAAUCGCAACCUCCUUACUCAAAGAAAACCUAACUGAAAGCAAAUUAAAAAAAAAAAGAAAUAUUAGAGCAUGCUAACAAGCACGGACUGACAGAAAGGAGUCAAUUGAAUGAUUGAAGUACCAGUUGAUUCCACUUGUGACCUUCGAGCGUCUUGACACCUUAAUAACAAGGAAGCCCCCCUAUUCCAGAAAUAGGGGAAACACCUUUCGUCGAGCCACACGAUUCCUGAAUGACCGUACCGAGGAAUUCUACCAUACUCCGUGCGCUAUGGUUGUUGAUACUGCAGAGUCUACCCGAAGGUUCAGUCUAGAUUGUAGUCCAGAUAUACACCCAAGGUUUCCCAGAUUCAAACCUAAGCAGAGACAAAAAACACUAGGUGAUUCUUCUCAUCUGUCCUAGCCUUGGCCUUGGGGGAAAAAGUUACUUGAUAUCUGUUACUGGUGGGAAGUGGCAGGUAUCCCGUGGAUUUAGUCGAGGUGCGCGAAAGCUGGCCUGGACACCACGGUUAUCCAACAACUAAAAAAAUUGUGGUCCAGAUAUUCUGAUCAAAGAGUAAUACUGUCAAAUUCCACACAAAAGAGAAGCACUUCUCUUCACUUACAGUUUGCUCGCAGACCACAGUCGAGGUGAUUGUCCUUUCAAGGGAGAAUGUUAGCACGAUUUUCCUUUCACCAGUUGAGCUAAGAGCAUAUUGUUACCAGAAUCCUGAUCAAGAAAAAAAAAAGGAAGAUUUAAAACUCGCUAACAGUUGAAGCCAGGUAAUUCAUUGUUCUAAUGCUUUCAGAUGUUAACCUUUCAUACAACAACAGCAACAUACCCAGUGUAUUCCCACCAAGUGGGGUUUGGGGGAUGUUAGCCUUGCGUAUUUUUUAUAUAGGAACCAGAAUUUUCUUCCACGUGUACCUUGGAUCUUCUAUUAGAGACUCUGCAUUUCCGGAGGACAAUAAGAUUUUACUCGUUAUCAAAGCACAAGGGUGAACAGGAGCAGCUCUAAACCGCAUCCACCUUUCUCAAGUAACUGGAGAAGGGGAAAAAACAAGAAUCAUUUGAUGAAACGUCAAGUAAUGCAUGAACUAGGCAGGCGAAUUCGCAGCGGUACAUCUAUUUUAUCUGUAGCUUUUUCAAAUAAAAAAUGACUCAUAUUUCAAAAGACAUACAUUCGGGGCUGACAUAUCAACGUACUGUGAGUGAUAAAAAGGCUUCAAAUUUGUUUAUGUUACAUUUUGCUAUGAACUUUCCUAGAUAAAAUUAUUACUCCUGUUUCCUACCUAAAUUAGGUCUUUUUCUCUCAUGAUGUAUAAAAAUUUCUGUAGUUGCAACGUGCUACUUUAUGUCAAUUUUCAUGUUGAUCUCAAGAUGCUUCCUCAGCUUCACAGUGGCAAUAGACGCUACACGCUGCUCAACAAGAUUGGAGAUUACGUCAAUGAUAUAUAAGCAGCUCAAAGAUUGAACAACUCCUACAAUGACAACGAACUGUCAUUGUGCACAUCUUAGCGGUUCUGCAAAUUGAUUGAGCACCGAAUGUAUGAUUGCCCCAAGUUGGUUGGGAACUGUCAUUGGUCACCUCGGCUUACAGAGGUAUUUCGAUUCGGGUAAGAAACUAGAAAGUAGAACUUCAACUUCUGUGGUUGAAUCUGAUGUCUUUGGUAGGCAGAAUGAAAAGAAGGAAUUGAUUGACCGUUUAACAUCUAAGGAGGCAAGUGAAAAAAAUCUGACUGUUGUCCCUAUUGUUGGAAUGGGGGGCAUGGGCAAGACAACACUUGCUAAAGCUGCUUACAAUGAUGAGAAGGUGCAAAGCCAUUUUAAUUGGACAGCUUGGUUUUGUGUGUCUGAGCCAUAUGAUGCUUUCAGAAUAACAAAAGGGUUACUUCAAGAUAUGGGCUCAUUUGACUUAAAGGAUGACAAUAAUCUUAAUCGGUUACAAGUCAAAUUAAAGGAAAAACUAAAUGGAAAAAGAUUUCUCAUUGUUCUAGAUGAUGUAUGGAAUGAAAAAUACAACGAGUGGGAUGAAUUGAGGAAUAUUUUUGUUGACGGAAACAUUGGAAGUAAGAUCGUCGUGAUGACACGUAAAGAGAGUGUUGCCUUGAUGAUGGGUAGUGGGGCAAUCAACGUGCGGACUUUGUCUGAUGAAGCCUCUUGGGCUUUAUUCAGACGACAUUCGUUAGAAAACAGGGAUCCUAUGGAACAUCCGGAACUUGAAGAGGUCGGAAAACAAAUUGCAGCUAAGUGCAAAGGACUUCCCUUAGCUCUGAAGACGCUCGCUGGCAUGUUACGCUCCAAAUCAGAAAUUGAAGGGUGGAGACGUAUUUUGAGAAGUGAAAUGUGGAAGCUGCCUAACAAUGACAUAUUACCAGCAUUGAUGUUGAGCUACAAUGAACUUCCCCCACACUUAAAGCCAUGUUUUUCCUUUUGUGCAAUAUUUCCUAAAGAUUAUCCAUUUAGGAAAGAGCAAGUUAUUCAUCUGUGGAUUGCUAAUGGUCUUGUAGAACAACAGGGAGAUGAAAGAAUUCAAGAUUUAGGCAACCAAUACUUUGACGAGUUGAGAUCAAGAUCGUUGUUCGAAAGGGUCCCAAAGUCUUCUGAAAGAGAUGGAGGGAAAUUCUUAAUGCAUGAUCUUGUCAAUGAUUUGGCCCAAACUGCAUCUUCAAUACUUUGUGUCAGGUUGGAAGAUUGCCAAGGAUCUCAUAUGCUGGAACAAAGUCGGCACUUGUCCUAUUCAAUGGGAGAAGGUGGUGACUUUAAGAAAUUGAAUCGGCUUUCCAAGUCAGAGCAGCUGAGGACAUUGCUUCCAAUACAAAUCCAGAGCCUUUUCCACCCUAGGCUAAGCAAGAGGGUGCUGCAUAACAUACUGCCAAGGCUAACAUCUUUAAGGGAAUUAUCAUUGUCAUGUUAUGAGAUUGUGGAGUUGCCGGAUGCUUUGUUUAUCAAAUUAAAGCUCCUGAGAUUUUUGGUCCUUUCUCGGACAGAGAUUAAAAAAUUGCCAGAUUCCAUAUUUGCAUUGUAUAACUUGGAGACACUUAUUGUGUCAUCUUGUACAAAUCUUGAGGAGGUACCGCUGCAGAUGGAAAAUUUGAUCAACCUGUGUCAUCUUGACAUUAGCGACACUUCUCUCUUGAAGAUGCCGCUCCAUCUGAGCAAGUUGAAAAGCCUCCAAGUGCUAGUUGGAGCCAAGUUUCUUCUAGGUGGUUGGAGAAUGGAAGAUUUGGGUGUGGCAUCUUACUUGUAUGGAUCUCUGUCAGUUUUAGAGUUGGAAAAUGUGGUUGAUAGAAGGGAAGCUCAGAAGGCGAAGAUGAGGGAUGAGAAGAAGAAUCAUGUUGAGAAGUUAUCGUUGGAGAGGACUACUAUGGUAGUCCGUCCUCCGAAAAGCCUUUUAACUCUCUGGAGGAGCUUGAAUUUGCAAAGAUGCCGGAGUGGAAGCAGUGGGACGUACUAGGGAACGGAGAGUUUCCUGCUCUUCGGAACCUAAGCCUUUUAUGAUUGCCCCAAUUUGGUUGGGAACAAUUAUAGUUGGGAUAUCGGAGAGGUCGUUUGGUGCGAGGUAUUAGAAAAAAUAACCCAUGUAUUAGUUGUAUUAUUCAUCUUAUUCAAUAGGAGUAUUAUUUUUAUACAUUAUAAACCAUGACGUUUAUAAUAUGGGGUACUAUUCAUAUUCUUAUACACCCAAUAUUUUCAAUCCAACAAACUAAACAAUCAAUUAAAAGUAAUGUCAAUGAUAUAUUCCAGCGAGAUGGUCCUCAAAACUCAAAAUACUCUACGCCAAAAAAUUGUUCAUCGACAAUAUCAUGUCCGAACUUUCUCCUCAAGUUUAUGCGUGCUCAAACAAGUAGACACCCGUAUCCUAUGUAGCGUUUUAGUUUGUAUAAGCGGUAAUUGAUUUGUAUUAUAAUACCAACCUCUAUUUUUCAUGGAAAGUAGUACAAGGAGAAGAGAAACACGAAGCUCUUUACAACAAAAAAUGGUGGAAAAAAGGAACAUGGAAAUGUAACUAUGGUGGGAAAAGAAAUCGGAAGAUAUUUUGAGGGGUAAAUUUGUCAUUUAAUAAGUUAAUGCAUGUGUUAAAAUGCUUUGUAUUAUUAAUACUAGAAAAGGAUGGUAUUAUUAAUACAUAGCUUAACACAUAAUUGAGUGCAUACCAAAUGCAAGCAUUAAUUAUGCAUAGACCAAAAGAAUGAAGCAAACCAGAGAUUAACAGUGCACAAGAAUAAUGCAUGCAUUAUUUUCGAUAACACACUCUACCAAACGACCCUAAUUGUAUUAAUUAUACGCCAUAUACCAUUCUAUUUUUAUACAUGGUAAGUCAUAACAUUAACAAUACAGGGUACUAUUUCAAUUCUAAUACAACUUAUUUGGUAUUAUUUUUAUUCUUAGACACCCCACUCAUUUAAUACAACUAGUUUAGCAUGCACGCACGUGUAUCAAAUAUUUAUUAAUAAAAGUAAUGAUAGUAUAUGUUUUGAUAUCUAACUAAUAAAUUAUAGUAAAAUAUCUAAAUGACGACAACAUACCCAAUGUAAUCCAACACUUGCACACUUUUGACUAAGUGAAUUAUUUAAUAGUGACUUAUGUAGAUGGCAAAAAUAUUAUUUGGAUCUCAAAUUUCUCUAUUGAUAUUAAAUAAAAUAUUUUAAAUUAGUUGACCAAAUUCAAUAUAGACAGACCUCACACCUACACUUUGUAUCGACACGACACGAACGUCGCAUAGAGUCUUUUUGCUUUACAUACAUCAUGCAUCCAUGGGUUUUCCACUCAUCACAAGAGUACAAAAUGAAAAGCAUUUCAACUCACAUCGAAAAUCAAAAAGAGUAAGGGGGAGAGGGGCGAUGCAAAAGAAUCAAGCAUACUGAAAUAUUUUGUUAAUUGUAAUUAAUAUACUGAACUGGUGCAUAAAGCAAGAACAAGUUACCUGCUUGUCUUGUGUGAUCUGUCGAUUUCAAAAUUGAGUCCCUAAAGCUGUAAGGGCAACAAAAACAUACUUUCAGUCUCAAUAUUGAAAUCUCAAGUAGUUGUUCCUUGAUAAAACAAAGCCAAAAAUUGAAAAUUGAAUAUACAUUACAUGCAAAAGAAAGUUCUUUUUUAUGGAGAAUGGUGAGAUAAGAUGCAAAGAAAAACAAAGGAGCCACAAAAAUGGUUUUAAGAAUUUUGAGAAGAUAAAUGUUUCUAUCUUCAAAUCAAAUAUUUAACAACUUUAUUUUACCUGUUGAAUGCUAAGACUAAAUUGCAAACAAGGAUGAUCAGUGAGUUCUCUUCCUCUCUCUUUUGCUACUGUUCUUACUUGUAAUUGGUACAACAAUGUUUAUUAUUAUUAACUACAAUCUACUCUUAUCAAAAAGUUUGACUGUUCAUCAAACAAGAAGACAAAGACUUGAUAAUAGAGUCUGCUUUAUACUAUUCAUUACUUUCUAAAUUCAAUAAUUGAGGAAAGAGAGGAAGGGGACUUGAGGGGCCCAAGUGGUUAUCUUUACACAUCUUCUGCUGUCCAAAUUUUGGUAGAGAGAAGGAUAAGUGAAGAUAAUGGUGGAUAUGUUCUCUGUAACUGUAGAUUAUUCUUUUCUCUUCUCAUAAAAUGAAAUUAAUAGUCCUAUGAAUAGGCUUAAUGAGCUUCGAAAUGCUUGCAUUAGGAUAGGUUUCCUACAUCACACCCAUUGCGGUGCGGCCCUUCCCCAUACCCUGACCUGUGGGAUGCCUUGUGCACCGGUUUGCCGUUUAAGAAAGGGUUAAACUGCCAAGUGUCGGUAACGGUCUAUAAGAUUCGGAUCAUGAAUCUUAUCUAUAAGGGGUUAAAACACGUAACUACUUAUCUAUAAGGGACAAAUUAAUUUUAGAAACCAAAAGUGCUAAGCUAUUUUCAAUCAGCUAACUCGAUAAACUCUUAAUUUAUUUGCUGUUUUUAAGAGACGAAAAUGAUGCUUAUGCUUCAUACACAACAUCUCGAAGCUCAAUAAGCCAUUAGCUCAUGUAUGAAUUUGAUGCCUGCUUAUUCUCUGUGUCACUUAGCACAGCUUUGAAGGCCAAGCAAGGUCAACUCUAAGGGCAAAAUAGGAAAUCACAAACUGGUCAAGAAUUUUAAGAUAGUGUUUUUAUCUCAAAAUAGCCUUAGUUUUACCUAUUCAAUGCUAAGACUAAUGGGAAUACAAGAAUGAUUAGAGUAUACCGACUUAGUGCUUUAGCUAAAGUUUCCUCUUUUCAAAAAGUAAGUGAACUGCUUCAGAUUACUGAGGACAUGACCCUAGACAGGAAGGUGUGGAGGUCGCGGAUUAGGGUAGACGGCUAGGGUGAGUGUGUAGGUAAUCGCUAGGUGAUAGGGGAGUUUGGGUGUGGCGGGUGUUUAGGCCUGUUACAACCACAUGGGUAUCUAUGUUCUUAUUUCAUAUUCCGUAUUUUUCGUAUUUCUCUUAUUACCCAUUUCUCUGAGACUUAGUGUUCUUAUUUUUUAUCUCUUAUUUCUGUUAUGCUAUACAACCUGUUUCAUGACUUAUUACGACCUUGGUAUACUAUUCUCUAUCUUGAGCUGAGGGUCUAUUGGAAACAACCUCUCUACUUCCUCGGAGGUAGUGGUAUGGACUGCGUACAUUUUACCCUUCCCAGACCUCACUUUGUGGGAAUAUACUGGGUCUCUUGUUGUAUGUUUUAGAAUUGUUUGAACUCGAAUUAUUUUUUCUAUGUUCAACAAAGGUAGAGUAUAUGGAGAACUUACCACUACCUCAUGGAGGUAGAGAGGUUGUUUUUAAAAGAUCCUCAGCUCAAGUACAAAGAAGAUAGAAAUAGUGAAGAAAAACAUAACAACUAACAAGGGAAGCAGUGCAAAGCCUAUAAGAGAGGAACACAAACAACACAAAAAAUAAAAUAGUGCGAUAAUCAAAACACAAUAAACAAAAAAUGACGAUAGAUAUCAAAAGAAAGAGCUACAAUAAUAUGGCUUGUAUAACGACAAACAACAACAAGCCUAAACCCUCGAAUUGUAGUGCUUAAUUGGGCCUAAUAAUACACCGUAUUCUUUUAAUACAACAACAUACAUAAUACAUAGUGAAAUCCCACAAGUAAGGUCUGGAGAGCGUAAAGUAUACGCAAAACUUAUCACUACCUUAGUGAGGUAGAACAGUUGUUUUCGAAAAACCCUCGGUAAAGAAAAUAUAGCAACUAACAAGCAAAUAGUGCGAUAAAAAUAAUGCUAGCGUAACAAAUUUCAGCAGUAUUAAUAUACCUCAUUCAUUACUAUUUUUAUUCAAUAAAUUUCUAAUUAAUUGAUUUUAUUCGUAGAUAACUAAUCUCGAUACUAUUAUUCCAUUCUCAAGCAAUUCAGUUCAAUUAUGUCGAUACUAAUUACUAAUUCUGAUAUAAUUUAUAGCGGAAUUAAUAACCAAACAAGGAAUAAGACAUUACCAAAAUCGCUUUUCCUUGCCAGUAAACUGUAAGAAUCCAUUGAGAUGAUCCUCUAAACUCAAAAACCCUCUUAGCCGGAAUUUUGAAGAAGAUGACCGGAAAUUUUCUAUUUUUUCUAUUUUUCCGGCGAAAUAGAAAAUUUUCCCGCCAAAGUUAAUUUCUACACCCCCGUCAGUGAUGACUGAUUUGUAUUAUAACACUUACACGUGUGUGUAUAUAUAUUUAAUUCUGCACUUAAUAAAAGGGUGGUUGAAUUGGCUUAUCUUUUAAGUAUUUUUAUUUUUAAAUGUAUUUGGUACUAUUUAAUCAUUGUUUGGUAGUGUUUUCAACUUAUAUAAUAAUUUGUUAGAGUGUAUUAAAAAAAUAAUAAAUUUAUUAGUCUUGUGUAUUAUUAGUAUUUUGUUUGAUAUAUUUGUAGUUAUCACUCUAUUGUGUGUAUCAAAGUGUGUAUUAUUAAUAUCUUUACAUUUAUGACAUCAGUAAUACAUUGAAUCUAGUGCAAGUAUUAGAAUUAUUAAAGAUACAAUUAUCUCCUAAAAAAUUCUCCCCAUAUAUAUAUAUAUAUUUAUGGAGGGUAUUUGGAAGAUAGUGGUGGAGAAAACAUUUUCUUUUCUUUUUGAUGGAUUUUGCAUUCUAGAGAAAGGAAAUCAUUGUUUUAGAUUACUUUAAACUGGGUAGUAUGUAGUACCACAAAGAUCAAAUUCAUUAUCGGUGAAUUCUUGAACAAUAUGAUGACACAUACAUAUCAAGGCUCAUUAAGUUAGAGUGAUUAUCAAAAAUUUCAAAGACAAAGAAUCACCACUCCAAAUAAAAGUAUCACCGUAUGUUGUAACUCUUUUGGCUGAAAAAGACGUUGGAUUACGAAUUAUUUAUAUCUAUUUUAUUCCUUAGUAGAUGCUGCAAUCGCUCAUAUUUAAGAGAUAAUGGAUGCACUUGCAAUACUACAGGCGAUCGAUUAUAUUUUACAAAACCAACUUCAUGUAAAACAUAACCACCCCAAUAUAAACUUAGUCUUACUGAAUCCUCUUGUCCCAUUUGGUUUUUUUCAACAUUCAUUAUCCCUUUUGAUAUUUUUGCUCCAAAAAUUAACCCUUUGAGCUCCGGACUCAUAGCAUGUUUGGUUUAGCAACAGAACACUGAGAACUGCUGUACACUGGAUAUGAUUGUAGAAUAAUGUAGAAUUGUUUUGUGAUUGCUCUGUGGUGAAUGGUUUAGCUUUCUAACUUUAAAAGGUAGACAUUUAGCAUUAACCUUAGCAUUUUCAAGUCUUCAAGUGGGGCUCUAUUGACCACCUACGACCUUGGCUUUUUUGAGAAUCUCGCUCUUGUGUCAUGAGACUUGUAGCUCGGUACUUGUGUAUCCUUCCAACUACGAGUGUCUCUUGUUUUUGUGCAUACACAUGUAAGACGUGGUUCGUCUAACUCAACUAUUCUAAUACACGACUUUUGUGACUGCGAUGAGAGUAUGGAGCGAAAGGCCCUUUUUCUCUCUUCAUUUUCUACUUACCAACGGGCAAGUUUGCGCACAAACACAAUCUCUCAUUGCCAACUAAAACUGAUGAGAAGGGUGUACCGGCUUCAUGAAUACAAUAGACGGUCUAUUGUAUGCAGCCUUACCUUGCAUUUCUGCCAGAGUCGGUUUCCACGGUUCGAACACAUGGCAGCAACUUUACUAGUUAAUACGAGACUCCCUUUCAAUGUUACCAAUCAAAACGAAAAGAAAAAAGCAGUAGAAUUUUGUGAACAGAAAAGAUGCACUAUCUACUCAAAACUGAACUUAUGCUAUUAUCACAUUUGGCUGCAUAACCAUUUACAUAAUUUGGUGUUGAUAUCCUCAUCUUUAUCAACUUUUGGUAUAACCUCCAAUUUCUGUGGUGUACUGCCAGUCACAUCCUUGCCAACUUCAUGAAGACGGGACGGAUAUAUUUUCGGUUAUUUCUCUGGAGGCUACAAAAUGAGGCUGAGGAACCAGGUAGAAUCAUUCUCCCAGAGAAACUACUAUUAACACAUGUUACAUUUGAUUUUCCAUCCAAAAGAAGAAAGAAUCAUAUAACCUUGUUUAAUUGACUCCUGCUGCUAUAUGCCAUCCGUUUCGAGUAAAUUACAUUUUUGGCAAGAAUCAUAUGCAAUAAUCUUCACAAGGGACCCAACUUUUUGAGGCUUCCCAACAUUUUCGUCAUCGUAUUGAGACUGUAAACUGGCAUUCUUCCUUGUAUACCAAGUGAUGAAGCAAGACAGCAACAAUGAAGUCUUAUUUUUUCUGGAAAGUUAUCAAUAACAAAAAUGCUACGCAGCGACUGAUAACGCCAAGAAGGAUGAGUUUUAGUAAGCAAGGGUACCAAUGAUCAAGCGCGAAGCCUCUUUUCAUUAGUACACCACAUCUUGUGAUCAGCCACACCCCAGAGUACCUAAACGUCAGGAAAAUGAAAAUGAAGAGGGUAAAAAAAAAAGAAUAUAUCAACAUGUGACUUCUUAAAUCCCAAAAUAUGAGGUGCAUUUGAUAGUCAACAGCUGAUCGUGGCUAAUGAUUACGUAGAAGGCUAGUAAUAGGAAGUUUAGCGUUUUGCUUUUCGUUACCAGUAGUAUUAGUAUUAUUAUUUCCGUAUUUCUCAUUCCUACUUUUCUAUUACAACUUGCUGUCUCGUAUGCUUCGGUUUUCUUACUAUCUUGCUGUUGUUACUGCUUAUGUUUCCUUAAAUGCUGUGAUUAUGCUUUCCUUGAGCUAAGGGUCUAUUCGAGACAACCUCACCUGCACCCAAAGUAGGGUAAGGUCGUGUACACUCUACUGUCUCCAUAACGCCACUUGUGGGAUUACACUGGGUUGGGUAUCGCAAUUGUUGUUGUCGUUCUAAAUUUCAGCAAGUAUUUGUUAGCAAGGUAAAUCCUAAUGCAAGAAGAAUUUAGACACAAUGAAGAAGGAUUCACCAGACCUUCUAGCAUUUGCAAUUGUAAAUGCUUCCAAGGCCCACUUUGAAUAGAUAUAAUCUCCUACUAUCGCAGUGAACUUACUGUCCUUGCUUGGUACAAGGGUCAAGACAACUGGAAGCAACACCGACCACUGAAAGACACAUCAGUUUGUUAGUAGAGAAUUGCGGCAAUAGAGGAUAACGUUUGGAGUUGAUAUGUAUUGUAUGAUCAAAGUACCGAGUACACACCAGUUGAGCCUGACCAGGUUCAAAGUAGAUGGCAAGUGCAUAAGCUAUCCCAGUAACACAAUAUACAACACAAAGCAAGACGAGAUAGUAAUCCAAAAUUGAAGAUCUUGGAUUGUUGAAGAAGUAGAACAUUGAUAGAUAAACUGCAGGCUUUACAAUAGUAUUGAUAUGAUCAACGGUAUCUUUAGCCAUAAAGUAUGCCAAACUGCUCAUGCCAGAUGCACUCUCUCUCCAGUAGUGUAAUUUAUCUAGAGAAAAUGACCUCAAAGACGCAAUCUUGAUGAGAAGAGCUGCAAAACAUUUUGGAAGGUAAGAACUUAGGUAAAGUGAAAAAUGGUAAUGAAGAUAUAUGAAACUAACAGUAACAAUCUUUCAUAUAAGUUUGUAAAACCAUAAAAAGAUACAAUACCAAAAUAAGUACUACGCGCAGGUCUAGGGAAGGGCCUGACCACAGGGAUCUAGUGUACGCAGCCUCACUUUACAUUUCUACAAGGGAUUGUUUCCAAGGCUUGAACCCGUGAUCUCCUGGUCACAUGGCAGCAACUUACCAGUUACUCCAAGGCUCCCCUUCAACUCAUUAUUGGUACCAACAUUUACGAAUUGUUAGCAUUAAGAAAGAAGCGGAAUUACAAGUGAUAACAUCGAGAUGAAGUGCAUGAUUUUAAAAUCUGGAACUUUUUCUCCUAAAUUUGCAAACAUAGCUAAUCAACUGUCUUUAAGUCAUCAGUCCUCUUAAAGAUAAAAUGCUGAAGUAUAUACACUGUUCAGUGGUUUUGAACUUACGAACUGCAAUGACGGUGUAAAGGUACCCCAUAAAUCCAAAUGAUUCAUCACUCAUGUCAGCAAGUGUUCUCAAACAGAUUCCAGCAAGUAACAGAAUAAGACAAUCAACUGCUUGUAGCCUGGCUUCUCGCAAUCGCUGCUUCCCGACUCUGACAAUGUGAAGUAUCAUAGAUGUCAACCAUCAAAACAAAUGCAAACGCAAAAACAUUUGUAUAUCAACUAAAACUUUCACAUGAAUACCCCCCCCUAAGUGUCCAUGGAAGCAGCCUCACCUUAAAUUUCUGCAAGGGGCUGUUUCCACGGCUUGAACGCGUGACCUCCUGGUCACACGGAAGCAACUUUACCAGUUACUCCAAGGCUCCCCUUCAUAUAAAAGAAAGAAGUACAACGGAGAGUUGCCAAACAUUUGCAUAUAGGACUGCAAGCAUGAAUUAAACACAUACACACACACAUCUUGAAAAAUAAUUAGAUGGUAUACAAGUGAAAAGGAGAGAAACUUAUUAUUACCUUACAAGGAAAUACUUAUAUUGAAGCAAUACACCAGGGGUUUUCCGAUGGGACAAGUCCGACCAUGCCAAAAAGUUGAAUCUCAUGCGGUCCUUCUUCUGUGCAACAUUGGAUUUGAUAUCUGACCACAGAUCUCCAGAUUGAUCGGAAGUAGCAGCCGCAGGACUUGCUCCAUCAGCUGAAUUUUCUCCAACCGAAGAUGCUUGUGAUCCAGAAGAAUCUAGCGUAUCUGGUGGUAUGGGGUAUCCGUUAUGAAUCAUCCAUCUAACAGGAAGAUCUUUAUAGUUCAGUCCUGUGCUCGGGAGUUUAUAAAUUCCUUCUAAAAUAUCAAUGAAAUGAUCUGGAGGAUUAACGCGAUCAGGUACAGUAAUUCCAAUGCCUGCAAAGUACUCUUCAACUGUCUUUACUGGUCCAUGAUAUACGGUAAGGCCGCCCUUGGCUAGAAGUACCAAAUCGUCAAACAUUCUGAACAAAGAAUAGCUGAAAAAGGAAGUGAUUACUGAGAUAGGGUGUCAAAAUUAAAGCGAUUUGAAAGAUCAUCGUUAUGCUGGAGGAAAAACUACUUAAAGUUAUAUGAUUAUAAUUCCACAUGUUUUGUGAUUGCAAUAUGUUCAAUGAGUGCGAGGACAAACAAAAAGAUAAAGCAAUAGAUAAAAGACAACAUGAUAACCACCAAGGAAUGCAAAUGGAAGAAGAUGAAUAGAGUAAGACCAAAAAGACUUAGAGGCUAUCAUUCGCAACAUUACCUUGGCUGGUGCACCACCAUGCAUACGUUCACUCCUUCAAUAGCUUCCCGACGAGUAGCUCUGAGUAACAAUUGAGAUGAAGAGCUAUCCAAACCAGAAGUUGGUUCAUCUAAGAUUAACAAAGAAGGUUCCAUAACCAUUUCCCGCCCAACGUUGACUCUCUUCCUCUGACCCCCAGAGAUGCCUCGCUUCUCCACUGUCCCCACGAGAGAAUCUCUCACAGGUUGCAAUCCCAGGGACUCUAUCACUCUUUCAACAACUAAAACCUUUUCUGGUUUAGGCAAAUCAGAUGCCAGUCUGGAAGAGUGAUUCAACAAAGAAGAGUAGACUAGAGUCAGUCGUCAUAUGAAUAUAGUAGUAUCGAAAAAACAGCAGGCUAACAAGUGAAAGCAGUAGCAAAAAAGCAAACUAACUUCCUUUUGUAUAAUAUAAGCUGGUCAUAUCUCUGCCUAGUUUGUGUUUUGACAACAAUAGAUGGCACGGAGGUUUCAGACCCUCACAUGAAUACUUCGAAAGUUUCAUUGACAAGUGUCAGUCAGUGGUUCCUGAUAAUAAGGGUAUGCAUGUAGCAGUCCAGAGUACGAAGGAAAAAGAAAUGCAUGACCUUUCCAAAGAACAAACUACUGGAAGCUGUCACCACCAAAACGUAGACUGAUGGUUGAAGUCAUGAAACUUAUGAAGUAAAAGAAUGCCAUGCGAAAAAUGAUGUUAUAUGAAUGCAUAGAUUCGUAAUAAUAGAACUACAAUAGCAUACCUGCACCGAGCACUAAACCAAAGAUUCUCCUCCACAGUUAAAUUUUCAUGUACUAUGUCAUCUUGAGGUACAAAGCCAAUGAUUUUCUUGUAUGACUGCACUGGUUCAGGCUUCCCAUUUAUGAGAAUCACUCCGAUCACGGUACACCCAGCAGCCUUCCCAGUCAAUGCAGAAAGAAACGUUGUCUUUCCAGCACCAGAUGGACCCAUAACAGCCGAAACACGGCCAGGUGAUAAUUUCCCUGAUACACACCUCAAUAGAUGCUUGGUUUUACCCUUCAAAGUAAGUGUCAAAUCUUUGAAACACACCUCAAUAGGAGGUCUAGUUCUAAUCUCAAUAGCACUUGCCAUCGAGAUUACACCAGAAAAUGUCAAAUCCUUAUUCUGCUCCUGCAAUGCUUUUUCUUUCUCAAUUUGACCAUACGCAUAUUUAAAGAAGAAGCAAGUUAUCGGAGAAGCUUGUUGGUUAGUUGUAACUUGUUAGAGAUGAAAAUCUUAAAAAAAAGGGCAGCGUGGUGCACUAAAGCUACCGCUAUUCACGGUGUCCGGGGAAGGGCUCCACCACAAGGGUGUAUUGUACGCAGUCUUACCUUGCAUUUCUACCAAGCUGUUUCCAAGGCUUGAACCCGUGACCUCCUGGUCACAUGGCAGCAACUUUACCAGCCUUAGCUUACGAGAAGAAAAUGUAAAAUGUUAUAUCUCGUGCGAUCUGUCCUUCUUUUGGGUUCAGUUAUGUUGUUUAUGCAGCCGUUACUCUACUAUUAUUUGAAAAAGAUAAGUAGAAAUUAUGUCCAGACUAAUCCCUCCCAUUUCCUCCUCCUUCUGUAAGGAAACAGCGGACAUUAGCUAAAGACAAAUCUGUUCUUUCUGUCAUGCAUUUCUCACUUUACUUCUCCCGCGUCAAGCCUAAAAAGUUUAAGACAUGCACGACCAUACUAGCUAACAAUCCAGGAACAUUAUGACAUUAUCUCAAAAGUAAAACCUUAUAUAGAUAAUCAAUAUUUGCACAGCCUAGGAGUGAGGAGAUGACUUACAAAAAACAUAAUACCAUAAGCUGUGAUAUUUUGAUUACUUGACUUUGAUUCACAAAUAGCUAACUUAUAGCAGCCUGCAUGUCCAUAAUAAUAGAUAAAUUCUUGAUCACGAUGAUGAUGAUGAUGGCAAUGUUAGAGCAUAAAAUAUUUCCAAAAAUAGAAAAGAACAUGUAGUGAGUUGUUACUUGAUACUAUAACUUUUCAUCUUGACGUAUUAUCUUCAAGUUACAAAUAACACAUAUUCAGUAACAUGACAACUAUAAGAUGUACCAUCUUUCUCAUAGUAGAGAAGAACGCGAGGCACAUCCCACUACCAAAAUAGUAAUCUUGUUAACGUGGAUGUCCAACAUGCUCUUAUCUUGAUACGUCUUGCUCAUUUCUAGUAAGAAUUAUUGGAUAUGCAUCUAGCAUAUUUUAACAGUACUAGAAACCUAGGCAAAGAAGACAAUUGGAUAUAGUUUUCCUUUUUGUAUUUCACUUGGAACCUGACAAGCUGCUACGUCACGCCAAGGAGAUUUCUUUUUUCCAGUGUGUGUGUGUGUUCUUUUUCCUUUCGUAUUUUGCUUUAGAAAUAUGGUAAAAGUGAGACAACACAACCAAACAGGCAUUUUUACUAGUACGAUAUAUCUAAAAGGAUCAAAUAAGUCAUUAUUACGUGUUUAUUCAAAGUCAAAGAUAAGAAAUGAAGCAACAAAGAACCUAAUACAGAGACAAAACAGACUGUCACAUGAGAUGAAGACUUACUUGUUUGAGACGUAGAACCAGUUCUACAGUAAUGCCUGGAAAAAAAGCAAAAACAAACAGUAUGAUAAGCGAAUGGAUUAGCAUGAGCUUCUAAUAUGAGCAAAAGGAUGAACAAGUUAAACAGAAAUAGCAUUUUGCGGGGAAAGAGAAAGCACGGUGAGAUACAUAUUCUCCGGUUUUGGGAUAAAUAUAAUUACCCUUUAUUGCAAGGUAAUUUCAGGGCAGUAGUUGGACAGUAAUAUCCUGAUGGACAAAAGAUUUCAGUAGUACUCCGAACAUCAGCCCAAACUUCUGCUCCACUGCAACUAUGAUUUAUCUGCCCUGGAGGAGGUUGAUAAUGGUACCUGCAUAUUUUGAGACAGGAAAUAUGAGUUGAAGGAUGCAAAAAGAAUACGGUCAAGUAAGAAUAAGAACUACAUAAGAUGUACGAAACUUAUGGGUCACACACACCAGUCUCGCUAUUGAGUGUUGAAAGAGGGCAAAACGCGCCUAGUGGACAAGCUUCAACCAGAAAAUAGGAAAAUAAACAAACAUAAAACUGAUACGAACGAGAGAAUCAACUUAUAGAAUUAUGCCAAAGGUGCAACUUGUGAUUUUGCCAAAGCAAAUUGUUUGAGCACAUCUACUUCAGAUAGUGGCCAUGAUUUCAAUGACUAUAAGAUAAUAUUCUUGUAGAUACUUACGUAUCAUGCAGGUGAGACCACGAGGACAGAAGAAACCUUCACAACAAGGUUCACACUCAAGAAUUCUAAGUGGCAUUUUGUUUAAAUCAAGGUCAACCGGAUUGUCUCCAAUGCUACAAGCCCAUCCUGGCUCACAUCCAUUAACCCAUGAUGAUAGAUUACAAUUUGUGUAGGUUUCAGGUUACCUCUUCCACCGCCUUUCAUUAAAAGUUGAGAAUAGAACUUUAACUCCGGUGCUGUAUACAAGCGCCUUAGUAUAUCACCUAUUCAACAACCGAAGACGUUGUGAAUACGAAAAUAAAGACAGUAGAACCCUGGAUUAUCAUGAUGUACAACGUAUACAACAUUAUGAACUAGAAUAGCAGACCUCGAACUAGAAAAAAUACAACCUCAGAGAAUCUUAACCAGAAAAUUAGUACCUUGUGUUUUUUUAAUGCAAUCUGUUAAAAAAUCUGUGUUCUCGCUGAAAUUAAAAGCUUUAUUCCAUUCAGCAUCCCUACAACACGAUCAGAAUUCAUCAACUGAAAAUUAGCUUUCUCUUUAGACGAAUUGUCAAAGACAACACUAUCAAAGAUGAAUUGUCAAAGACAACGCUAUCACAACUAAAGUGAAACAAGAUUUUGGAAAAGCUUUUGCCGGUUGGCUUAAUGACAUAGGAAUUGAAGAAUAUAACCUUUCCUAAAGCAACAUAAGAGACCGUUUUCGAGACAAUUUUUCAAUUAUGAGACAAUUGUUACUGCUUAUGUUUCCCUAAAUGCUGUGAUUAUGCUUUCCUUGAGCUAAGGGUCUAUUGGAGACAACCUCACCUGCACCCAAAGUCGGGUAAGGUCGUGUACACUCUACAGUCUCCAUAACGCCACUUGUGGGAUUAUACUGGGUUGGGUAUCGCUAUUGUUGUUGUCGUUCUAAAUUUCAGCAAGUAUUUGUUAGCAAGGUUAAUCCUAAUGCAAGAAGAAUUUAGACAGAAUGGAGAAGGAUUCACCAGACCUUCUAGCAUUUGCAAUUAUAAAUACUUCCAAGGCCCACUUUGAAUAGAUAUAAUCUCCAACUAUCGCAGUGAACUUACUGUCCUUGCUUGGUACAAGGGUCAAGACAACUGGAAGCAACACCGACCACUGAAAGACACAUCAGUUUGUUAGUAGAGAAUUGCGGCAAUAGAGGAUAACGGUUGGAGUUGAUACGUAUAGUAAGAUCAAAGUACUGAGUACACACCAGUUGAGCUUGACCAGGUUCAAAGUAGAUGGCAAGUGCAUAAGCUAUCCCAGUAACACAAACACAAAGCAAGACGAGAUAGUUAUCCAAAAUUGAAGAUCUUGGAUUGUUGAAGAAGUAGAACAUUGAUAGAUAAACUGCAGGCUUUACAAUAGUAUUGAUAUGUUCAACGGUAUCCUUAGCCAUAAAGUAUGCCAAACUGCUCAUGCCAGAUGCACUCUCUCUCCAGUAGUGUAAUUUAUCUAGAGAAAAUGACCUCAAAGACGCAAUCUUGAUGAGAAGAGCUGCAAAACAUUUUGGAAGAUUAGAACUUAGGUAAAGUGAAAAAUGGUAAUGAAGAUUUAUGAAACUAACAGUACCAAUCUUUCAUAUAAGUUUGUAAAACCAUAAAAAGAUACAAUACCAAAAUAAGGACUAUGCGCAGGGUCUAGGGAAGGGCCCGACCACAAGGAUCUAGUGUACGCAGCCUCACUUACAUUUCUGUCAGAGGCUGUUUCUAAGGCUUGAACCCGUGAUCUCCUGGUCACAUGGAAGCAACUUUACCAGUUACUCCAAGGCUCCCCUUCAACUCAUUAUUGGUACCAACAUUUACAAAUUGUCAGCAUUAACAAAGAAGCGGAAUUACAAGUGAUAACAUAGAGAUGAAGUGCAUGAUUUUAAAAUCGGGAACUUUUUCUCCUAAAUUUGCAACCAUAGCUAAUCAACUGUCUUUAAGUCAUCAGUCCUCUUAAAGAUAAAAAGCCUGAAGUAUGUACACUGUUCAGAGGUUUUGAACUUACGAACUGCAAUGACGGUGUAAAGGUACCCCAUAAAUCCAAAUGUUUCAUCACUCACGUCAGCAAGUGUUCCCAAACAGAUUCCAGCAAGUAAUAGAAUAAGACAAUCAACUGCUUGUAGCCUGGCUUCUCGCAAUCGCUGCUUCCCGACUCUGACAAUGUGAAGUAUAUCAUACAUGUCAACCAUCAAAAUGAAUGCAAACUCAAAAACAUUUGUAAAUCAACUAAAACUUUCACAUGAAUACUCCCCCCUAAGUGUCCAUAGAAGCUUCUCAGUUGGUCAUGCUACUUAGAAGCUCCAGCUGUGCGCGGGGUUUGGGGAAGGGCCGGACCAUAAGGGUCUGUUUUAAGUAGCCUCACGUUACAUUUCUGCAAGGGACUGUUUCUACGGCUUGAACCCGUGACCUACUGGUCACAUCGCAGCAACUUUACCGGUUACUCCAAGGCUCCCCUAACAUAUAAAAGAAAGAAGUACAGCAGAGAAAUCCCAAACAUUGGCAUAUAGGAUUGCAAGCACAAAAUAAACACAUAGACAUAGACAUCUUGAAAAAUAAUUAGAAGGUAUACAACUGAAAAGGAGAGAAACUUAUAUAUACCUAUAUACACAUGCAUCUUGAACAUUAAUUAGAAGGCAUACAAGUGAAAAGGAGAGAAACUUGUUAUUACCUUACAAGGAAAUACUUAUAUUGAAGCAAUACACCAGGGGUUUUCCGAUGGGACAAGUCCGACCAUGCCAAAAAGUUGAAUCUCAUGCGGUCCUUCUUCUGUGCAACAUUGGAUUUGAUAUAUGACCACAGAUCUCUAGAUUGAUCGGAGGUAGCAGCUGCAGGACUUGCUCCAUCAGCUGAAUUUUCUCCAACCGAAGAUGCUUGUGAUCCAGAAGAAUCUAGCAUAUCUGGUGGUAUGGGGUAUCCGUUAUGAAUCAUCCAUCUAACAGGAAGAUCUUUAUAGUUCAGUCCUGUGCUCGGGAGUUUAUAAAUUCCUUCUAAAAUAUCAAUGAAACGAUCAGGAGGAUUAAUGCGAUCAGGUACAGUUAUUCCAAUGCCUGCAAAGUAAGCUUCAACUGUCUUUACUGGUCCAUGAUAUACUGUAAGGCCACCCUUGGCUAGAAGUACCAAAUCAUCAAACAUUCUGAACAAAGAAUAGCUGCAAAAGGAAGUGAUUACUGAGAUAGGGAGUUAAUUGUAAGGUUCGGUUGGUUAUUUUAGAAAAUACAUUAUUCCUUAAUAUAUUACAUAGAACCAAAAUGGACUUUGUCGAACCAUCCAAAAUGUGGUUGCUUUCCUUCCAUAUCGGUUUGGUUUAGCUAAUCUUUGGUUCUAUCCUUUAUUCUGGAAAUCUCUUCUAAGGUUCAAAUUUGAUUCACAAGUUUCAUCAACUCGUUUGAGCAUUUUUAUCACAUCAUUAGUUUCUUCCAUUCUUAAGUUCUCUAGUUAUCAAUCUAGGAUAAUGAUUUUCAUAUGUUUGUCUUUUCUGACUCAUGAUCUUAUAUUUGCAACUUUUCUCAUAUUUUUUGGGAGUCGUAUGAGAUAUAAUUUCCUCAAUGAGUUUAGUUACAAUUUAAGAAGACAGAUCCCACUCACUAAGAGUAGAAUUCCGCAAGAGCCACUAAUUGCAGCUUAUAUUAACAACGAUAUGGAUAUCCCUUCGCUAGCAACAUGUUGGUCCAAUUAGUCCAAAAUUACAUCAAGCAUCUGAUAUGACUUUCAUAACCGUAGUUCAAAAUGAAAGCGAUUUAAAAGACUAUCGUUAUGCUGGAGGAAAAAAUACGAAAAGUUAUAUGGUUAUAAUUCCACAUGUUUUGUGAGUGCAAUAUGUUCAAUGAGUGCGAGGAUAAACAAAAGGAUACAGCAACAACAUAACAAUCACCGAGUAAUGCAGAUGGAAGAAGAUGAAUAGAGUAAGACCAAAAAGACUUAGAGGCCAUCAUUCACAACAUUACCUUGGCUGGUGCACCACCAUGCAUGCGUUCACUCCUUCAAGAGCUUCACGACGAGUAGCUCUGAGCAACAAUUGAGAUGAAGAGCUAUCCAAACCAGAAGUAGGUUCAUCUAAGAUUAUCAAAGAAGUUCCAUAACCAUUUCCAGCCCAACGUUGACUCUCUUCCUCUGACCCCCAGAGAUGCCUCGCUUCUCCACUGUCCCCACAAGAGAAUCUCUCACAGGUUGCAAUCCCAGGGACUCUAUCACUCUUUCAACAACUAAAACCUUUUCUGGUUUAGGCAAAUCAGAUGCCAAUCUGGAAGAGUGAUUCAACAAAGAAGAGUACACUAGCGUCAGUCGUCAUAUGAAUAUAGUAGUAUCGAAAAAACAGCAGGCUGACAAGUGAAAGCAGUAGCGAAAAGCAAACUAACUUCCUUUUGUCUAAUAUAAACUGGUCAUAUCUUUGCCUAGUUUGUGUUUUGACAACAAUACCAUAUUCUAGCUCGGGAUGUUAAUUUGUUAAGUUUUUUUGUUUAAAAAAUAUUGAAACUAUUGACAAUAUUCUAGCUUGGGAUGUUAAUUGGUUAAGUUUUUAUUGUUUAACAAAUAUUGAAAUUAUAUUUACUAUACUUUGUCAUUUUCAGUAAUAAAUUUAUAUUUAACAAUGAAAUAUAUACUUUUAUGAUAUUAAGUUUCAGGAUGUACCAUUUGUGGUAAAUCAUAUUAUACAAAUAUAAUACUGUUUGGUCUAAACAUUAAUUUAGGACGAGUUAGUUGCUUGUCUCUAAAGGUUAAUUAAGGACGGGUUAGUUUCUUGUCUCUAAAGAUUAAUCAAGGACGAGUUAAUUGCUUGUCCAGAUAGAGUAAUUUAGGACAAGGUAGUUACUCAUUGCAAAAAGGUUUUAGCAACCACAAAAUAACUACUUUUUAAAAAUGAAAAUUAUAUAUUUGAGAUGACAAAAAGGGUCUCUUAAAGUAUUUUUGCGACCGGAUAUGUUACCGUUGCUAAUGACAUUUAACGACCAGUUAGAGUACCUCGUCGCAAUUGACCUUUAGCGAAGAAGGCUAUUAGGACGAGCCGCGACGAGCAUUUUCCCGUCCUAAAAGGUCAUUUGUGACCAGAAUUGGACUUUUAGGGACCAGAUUUCCCUGGCUGUUUUUCUUGUAGUGACCUCUUUUCAGAUUAAGUGUUCAAAAUGAGUGAUGUAAUACAAUUUAGUUUUCAAAAUCCCCCCACUAAUUUUUUUUUCAACUUUAACUAUUAAUAUUUUUUAUUCUUUACAAUUUAUUUUCAUGGAAUCAAUCAUUAUUAGUAUGUAGUAGUUCACUAGUUUGAUUAAAGAUCUUGUUAGUCACAAAUUAUUUAACGAUAAGUUAGUAAUAAAACUUUGUAACUAGAUUCUAAUUUUUUAUUUUUUUUUGGCAGUGAGCAUAGAAAUUAGAAAGUGAUUAUACUCUCUUAAAACACAUGAUGAACAAUUGAAAAAAUAAAAUAAAUAUAUACCUUAUCUUAUUAUAUUUACACAAAUUUUCACCCUUACAAAGUAAUUAUAAAAAUCCCAAUUAAUUAUAUAUAUAUUCCUUAGAUGUAUUGGGAGCUAAUUAUGUAUCUCGAUAGACACAAUUCGAAAAAAUAUAUCAGGAGCUAAUUAUGUAUCUUCACAAGGAAAAAAUGUAUCUUUAUUGGAUGUAUUAUGUAUCUCGACAGACCUAAAAUCGAAAAACAUGCAUCGAGAGCUAAUUAUGUAUCUUUACAAAUAAAAAAAUUGCAUCUUCGUUGGAUGUAUCAGGAGCUAAUUAUAUAUCUCGACAGACCCAAAAAUGAGAUUAUCAGUAAUUAUAUAGAAUAUCAAAAUUUUCUAUAAUUAAGCUUCAAGCUAUCGGGAUUUAUGUUUUUCCCUAAACAAUUACACAUAGCUCAAGCUAUGUUUUCUUUUAGAUAAUACUCCCUCUAUUCUUAAUCAUUUAUUAACAAUAAAUAUUUUAUUAUACUUAUUAUUUUAGGAAUACAAGCCAUAAUUACUUGUUUGUUUCUACCUUAACCCUCAAGUCAUAAAUAUAAAGAUAGAUCAAUACAGUGAACAAAAAAAAGUAAAAAGUAAUGAUAAUUUAAUUAAAUUAACGUUUAAUUAAUAUUUUAUAAGGCGCAUGUAAAUAAAAAAAGUGACAAAUAUUUAAGAAUAAAGGGAAUAUUUACUUUAAUGAAUAACUAAAGAAAAUGAAGGGGAGCUCAUUAAAAAGUAAAAUGCAUUCUUCAAACCUGAUUUAUAUGUAAAUAUUUUAGUGUAUCACAAUUUAGCUAAUUGGUCUGAUUUGUAUUACCCUUUACCAGGUUACACUUAUUUAACACCAGUUUUGGGUAUUUUAACUUAUGAUGCUUCUAAUUUAUCAUCAAUAAAUCUGCCAGAGUUGGAUAUAAGAGCAUCAAAGAAGCCUAUUUUGGUUAAUUUUUCUAAUGUUGUUAAGCCUGUUGUUUUUUUUUAAAGAAAGAUGAGGCAAAGAAAAAGGGUUAAGAUUCUCAAAGGAUUGAAUAACUUUCAGUUGCAUUCAAUAAUUUUCUUAAGCUUAUGAGGGCUUUAAAUAGCCAACAUGAAACACAUAAUCUGCAUUAUUUGAAAUUUAAAAUCCUAAACUAUCUCAAUAAAUUAAACAAGCUAACAAAUUUUUAAAAUUUAAAUUCAUCCUAAAACAACUAACUUAUUUUGCUAAAAUUUACUGCAGUAACUUAAGCAAUUUUCAACAAAGCCAGUGCCAAUGGGGCUGUCACCAAAAUGUGUUUACUUUAACUUGGAUGGUGCAGUGGAAUUUGACAAUAUAUUGAAAGGCAAUAUGGGUAAGACUACCAAACAAGGUCAUUUUUCUAUAGUGGUUGAGUUUACUACUGCUGAACAAGAACCUACCACACNNNNNNNNNNNNNNNNNNNNNNNNNNNNNNNNNNNNNNNNNNNNNNNNNNNNNNNNNNNNNNNNNNNNNNNNNNGAACCAGAACCUAAACCCGAACCCGAACCUGAACCAGGCACAGAUGGUCAUAAAAAAAGUGGCAGGAAAAAAUGGGAAAUAUUUGGAUCAAUUGUUGGCGGAUUUGUUACUUUGAUUAUCUUGGUGUUAUUGAUCGAUUGUCUAAAAAAGUAUGAUAAGCAGAAAAAGAUUGACAGAAUGGAACAGGAAGCAGAAAGAGGUGUACCAUUGCUUAUGACAAGAGUUAGGAGCUCGAAGGCUCCAAUCGCUUCAGAGACUCGUACAAGACCCUCAUUAGAGAAUGAAUAUCUCCCAUAGAUUUGAAUUUUUUUUUUUUUCUUUAGUAGUCAUCUGGUAAUUCAAAGAUUUUUUGCAACAUUUCAUUCAAUUCUUUACCUUUCAUUAUAUAUGUUGUACAUUCUGUUUACUUUGUGUCAUCAUCUUGAUGAAUAUCAGUAGAGACUUUUGCUCAUCACACAUGCUUUACUAAUGUAAGUUCCAACUUGUUCUUGAAGUUCCCAAGUUUCAACAUUGUUGCUUCAAGAGAAGGGAAUAAGUGACCUUCCUUGAACCAAAAAUAAAGAACCAAACAAACAAACCAACCAAAAUAAAUAACUAAUUAAUUAAUCAUCUAAACAGCCUACAGCCUAGCACAAUUAAUCCAGAUGCUGACUUUCAUCCAGCUGUGGCCUAAGUAGUUCUCUCCCACUUGUUCUUUGCUAAGAUCUGCAGCUAGCUCAAAUGUGGUUCAUAUUCUAAUAACCAUCUUCUUUAGCUCCGUCCAAAAUCUUAUCCGUUAUGUCAGCCCUCCUUCAACAGGCAGAAGGGAUAAUCGAAUUUCCCUCUCUGAAGGCCCCCUAAGAUAAUCGAUAUGCUCUCUGUUCAACAUAGGGCAUUGAUAUUCCUUACUUCUCAGGUUAAGAAUUUUAUGAUCCCUUUAAUUGUAUCCCGUAAUAAAAUCUCACUGACAAACAUCUUGUCAAUGAUUGGUUUAGUUAUCUAGCGGAAAGUUUUUUGUUCAAAGAUUUAUAUACACAUUCCUCUCAGUCUAAUUCAUCGGGUUAUUUCUGCAUAAUUAUCUGGUCGCUAAUUCCUGCUUUGGUUGGAUCUCAAUCAACUAGUUCAGAUUCAUCUGCAAGAAGCUCACUUGAUUCCUUACUUCAACGAUAUGCUUUCAGGGAAUUGACCUGGCAAAGAAUCAGAACUGGUGUUCCUUAUGACGCGUAUGUUCCUUCCAACUUGAUGGGGAUAAAAGUUUCAGCCAUGAUUCUUAAAAGACACACGCUAAAACGGAGAGUCCACGGCUACUAUAAAGAAUUCUUUAUCCCAUCGGGGAUCAUAGUGGAGCCUUAUGUAGAGAAACUUGUUCUGGUUUAUCAAAACUUGGGUAAUUGGUCAUCCUUUUAUGAUCCUUUGCCUGGCUACAUUUAUCUGACACCAGUUUUGGGAAUCUUGGCUUAUGAUGCUGAUGAUUUGUAUGCCACAAAUCUACUAGAAUUGGAUAUACUAGCAUUGGAAGACCCUAUCAACAUCAGGUUUCCUUUUGUUCAGCCAACACCAGAGGGGUCUUUCCCCAAGUGUGUUUAUUUCUACUCGAAUAAUUUGGUCCAAUUUGGCCAUGUUACCGAUGGAAAUAUUUGUGAAACCAGAAUACACGGCCAUUAUUCUAUAGUUGCUGAUAUGAAAGCUGUUCCAAGUCCUUCUCCUAGUGCCCAUGAAAUUGCCCCAAGUCCUCCUCCUACAGCUGAUGACAAUAAUCAUCAAAACAUCAACUCUAAAAUGUGGACGAUUUCAUCAGUAUUUCUAUUUUUUGUUCUCAUGGGAAUAUUGUUUUUUAUUGUAAAAAAGUAUGGAUUAUUGGAAAUAAAACAGAGGUUGUAUGAUUCAGCAGCAGUUGUUCAGCCCUUGUUAGGGAACACAAAGGUGCAAUUGGAAGCUCCAACAACACCAUUGCCGGAGAAUGACUAUGUACUUUAAGUGGCAACACCAAAAAUUUUGUGGCUUGCAUACUCAGGUACAAUUUGUGAGAAUUUUUUACGCUAUCAAUCUAAUUUAGUAUGUUAUAACAAGUUAUUUAUUCUAUUUGCCAGGUUAUGAGAUUGCAUUUAAGUAAUUUUCUGUUGUUGUAGGUAGCUUAACAUGCUAGUGUAAAAAGUUUAUACACCGCCACUAUGUCAACACAUAGAACUUGGAUUUUAUAUACAAUAGGUUGUAAAAUAGGGUGUGAAUGCAUUAAUAAGUACUCCCUCCGUAACAUUUUAUGUGUCGCCAUUUGACGGACAUGGAGUUUAAGAAAUAAGCAAAGACUUGAUGCUUUUUACCAAAUUGUCCUUUAUUAAAACUAUGUACUAUUAUUAUUUUUAAUUAAGUGGGACCAAUAAGGAUAAAAGUGUAAUUGUAUCUUUAAAUAGUUACUAAAUAAGGAAAGAUGACGGACAAAAAAGAAAAUGACGACACAUAAAAUAGAUUCUAUGGAUUUGUUCUUUGGGAAACAUAAAUUGGAAGAUAUAAAGACAUUAUUUCAGUGUGAUAUCAAGUAAGAUUCCGUCUUACAAGUGAAGCGGAGAACGAUAAAGAUCUUAAUCAAGACGAGCAGUGGAAUACAGUGGCGGAGUCAGGAUUUUCAUUGAAAAAGUGCAGAAGUAAAUAUACGAACUAGUCGAAGGGGGUUCAACAUCUAAUAUAUAAGCAUCAAAAAAAAUAUUUUAACCAUGAAAAAAUAGUAUAAUUUUCCGUCGAAGGGGGGUUUGAAUGAACCUCCUAGAGCAAAGGUGGCUCCGCCACUGAUGUAACUAUUACAUUAGAUGUGCACAAGCAUGAGUUGGUCAUAUAUAUCAAGCAAGCCAAAAUUGAUAGUUGUGCGACUUGGAAAAUCUCAACCUCCUUACUCAAAGAAGAACAAACUGAAAGCAAAUUGAAAAAAGAAAUAUUAGAGCUUUUAGACAUUUUAGGUAUUACAAUUACUGACCAAUCCAUGUGUCUAUAGCUAAAAAAUGAAUCCUACAAAAAUGGAUUCUAAUUAAUUGACUUCCAAGUGAAGUAAUUUUAAUGUGGUGUUCGAACUUACAGAAUUUAGGUGGAUCAAAGUGAUUGCAGCAAAGAAUUGAUCUGGAAAAAUCCAAUAUUAGGUAUAACCGACCUACUUCACUGCUUUUGCUAGCAUGACAGCAAGCACGGACUGGCAAAAAAGAGUCAAUUGAAUAAUCAAAGUACCAGUUUCUUCCACUUGUGACCUUCGAGUGCCUUGACAUCUUAAUAAAAAGGAAUCCCCCCUAUUCCAGAAGUAAGGGAAACGCCUUUCGUCGCGCCACAUGAUUCCUGAAUGACCGUACCGAGGAAUUCUACCAUACUCCGUGCGCUAUGGUUGUUGAUACUGCAGAGUCUACCCGAAGGUUUAGUUUAGAGAUACACCCAAGGGUGUAGCCUAGUGGUCAAUCAAAUGGGUUGAGAACCACAAGGUUCAAACCUCAACGGAGACAAAAAACCACUAGGUGAUUCUUCUCAUCAGUCCUAACCUUGGGGGACAGUGUAACUUGAUGUUGCUGGUGGGAGGUGACAAGUAUCCCGUGCGCAAAAGUUGGCCUGGACACUACGGUUAUCCAAAAAAAAAAAAAAUUGUAGUCCAGAUAUUCUGAUCAAAGAGUAAUACUGUCAAAUUCCACACAAAAGAGAAGCACUUCUCUUCACUUACAGUUUGCUGGCAGACCACAGUCGAGGUGAUUGUCCUUUCAAGGGAGAAUGCUAGCAUGAUUUUCCUUUCACCAAUUGAGCUAAGAGUUUAUUGUUACCAAAAUCCUGAUCAAGAAAAAAAAAAGGAAGAUUUAAAACUCGCUAAUAGUUGAAUCCAGGAAAUUCAUUGUUCUAAUGCUUUCAGAUGUUAACCUUUCAUACAACAACAUACCCAGUAUAUUCCAACAAAGUGGGGUAAAGUGGGGUCUGGGGGAUGCUAACCAUUCGCAUUUUUUAUACAUAGGAACCAGAAUUUUUUUACAAUAGGAUUCUACACGUUAUCAAAGCACAAGGGUGAACAUGUGCACCUCUAAACCGCAUCCUCCUUUCUCAAGUAACUGGAAAAGGGGAAAAAACAAGAAUCAUUUGAUGAAAAACAUCAAGUAAUGCACGAACUAGCCAGGCUUAAUCGCAGCGAUACGUCUAUUUUAUCUUUAGCAUUUUCAAAUUAAAAAAAUGACUCAUAUUUCAAAAGACUUAUACAUUCGGGGAUGAUACAUCAACGUACUGUGAAUGAUAAAAAGCUUUCUAAUUUGUUUAUAUUUCAUUUUGCUAUGGACCGUAAAAAACAAGAGACAGUAUUUGAGAAUUUUCUUCUCCGUAUAAUUCCUUGCCAAUCACACUUAUUUAUAUAAGCUAAUGGAAUGGAAAGAACCUUCUAUUCUAAGCUAAACAAGAUCCUUCUAUUCUAAUGUAACGCCCCGCAUUUCGGGCUACAAUAUAGACCAUGAUUCCGACGUGUUGAUAAACCUCGAACCCAUAAAAUCCUAUGCCAAUACGACAUGUUAAUUAUUUGUGUAGCAUGUGAAUCCAUUCAAGCUUGAAUUUAGACCAUAGAGGUCCUUCAACUCAAGGACGAGUUGAAACUAUUUCGAUCGACUAAGUUUUAGUGGACGUUGUAAAUUGUGUCAGCUUCCAUCCAUCAUAACUCUCUGUAUAUAUCGAAUUAGGGAGCCUACUAUGUGUCAAAUGAUAGGUCUUCGAGUUAACUUUCCAAUGAUACCAAUUUUACUAAAAUCCGACACCCGAGCAAGAAGUUAUGGCCUUUCAAAGUGAUAUGCAUCGCCUAACCAAUCGUCCAUGGCCAUUGGAAAGCAUAGGCGAUAGCCUAGGCAGCGCCUAUGUAAACAUAGGCGAUAUCCUAGGCGGAGCCUAUGUAAACAUAGGCAAUGGGAUGAGCGGCGCCUAUGCAAAGAAUUCAAGUGACUUAAACACUCCGUUUUUGGGGCAAAAUGGUCCUUUUUCACCCUUACUUAUCCCUAAAACACGAAAUUCAGUUCCAAGGACCCCAAAAUACACCUUCAUUCAUCAAAAGUGCUCAAAGAUUCUCCUUAGGGUUUUAAAAUAAAAACUCAAGCAACUCGAGAUUCAACCGGGGGUUUUAGGAACAAAUUGCAUAUUUGGAAUCCUCUCAACAUAGGCUUCGAGAAGCAUCUAAUAUUCAUAGUAAUAGAGGUACGUGGGGUUAUCUCAAAAAUCUCAUAGGCUUUAAAAAUUCAUGUUUGCAAAUGGAGGUUUUGAAAUUACGAAUAUGAUUAUGUUUUAAACGUUUUAUGAUAUUGAUUUGGCCCUUAGGCCUACUCCCAAAGUGAUUUGCCAUAUGAUAUAUAUGUAUAUGCAUGUAUUCCGAAAAGAUGUUAACUUGAGAGCAUGAAUAAUGUGAAAUUUUUUCUCUUGAUGUGAAUUUGUUUUAAAUGUUCAUAUGAUGUAAAUUGUUCGAAAACAUCUUGAAGAGCAUGACAUGAAAUAUUUUGAGAAUUGAUAUGAUUUUGACUUGAACACGAGAAGGUUAUACAUGUUGAAUACAAUGGUUGAAUGAGAAGAAUAAUGUGAUAUUGAUGGCUUGCAAGUCGGGUAUGACGAUAUCCUACAGAAUAUGAUAUGUGAUUGAAUCAGAUGAAAUUUGAAUGCAUUGAUUUUACAUGAGAUAGGUGGAUGCCUCAAGAAGGCGUUUGAGUGUAAGGGCUCAUCGCAGGAAAACGUGUUUGCCGACACAAAAAUUUGGUACCAGGCUAAGUGAUCUUGUGUACUUGACUUUAUGUCAUUCCCAAAUUGGGACUAUAGGUAGGCGCCCGGGCUAAGUGAUCUUGGGCACUACCAUUGGGUCGAAACACCAUGCUUCGUUGCAUUAUGUAGGGUAUUCCACCUAGCUCAGUUGCAUUUCAUUGUUGUUGAGAAACUAUUGCAUUACACCCAUGUGUUUUCAAAUGAUUUGAUACGAAAUUGCUUUAUAAUGGCUCUCAACUAUAUUCUUGUAAAAAUAUUAUGUUUUGUUUUGAUAUCUCUGCGUGCCAGUACUUUUGUGCUGAUCCCCUCCCUUCUCCAAUCUUUCAAGUUCAGAGGCCCAGUCUAGGGGUCAAGAGAAUCAGUAGAUCAUUCAGACAGAGUUGCAGAGACAAGUGGUAAGCCUUCUAUGUUUCGGAAGGUCUUAUGUCCUGCAGUCCUUUUAUCUUAUAUUUAGUUUUGAGGUCUACUGAGGGUCUUGUCCCAGUUUAUACACAGUUACUUGACUCAGUCAUUUGUUAGAGAUUUUCGCAGACAGUUGUUUAGAGGUUGAUUGAAGUUGGGGGAAACUUUAUUUCCCCGUUAUUGUUUCUUUUCAUAUUUAUGAUCAUGUUUCCGAAUUAUUGUGUUUCUUCCGCAUUACUUUGAUCAUAUGAAUUAUGUGCUUGAUUACCAGACAGAUAGGGGUGUUUCGGGCCUCCAUGGUUCGAAAUGCUCGUCACGGCCAGGCCCUGGUUCGGGUCGUGACAUCUAAGCUAGACAAUGAAAGAGAUUUAUAUAAUUAACUGAAUUCCGAGUAAAGUAAUUUUAGUAUGUCAUAUAUGGCUAACAAGCAAUUUCUAAUGCUGACAAAGCUAGAAGAACAGAGCAAUGACAAGGAAUCAAGAACUGAAGGUUUCUCGACUGUUAAACAUCUCACAUAGUUUUAUAUAAUACACAAAUAGACACUUGUAUUUGCAUGAAAUUCGGUUCCUAGUCCCCAACUCUACGAGUUCUCAUUCAGAAAUUUCGCAUAGUUCUAAUAUCAUAGCUUUUAACUUCAUUUCCAAUGCAAAUCAAUGCUGAUUUUCAAGUCAACAUUCAUCAAUCAUUAGUAUUACCUAUCAAAUGUCAUGUUGUUGAAUCGUCGUAGAUCAACGAAUAAAGCUACUUAAUGAAAAAAAAAGAACUGUGUCUGAAAAUUUUCUUUCAACUUUUCUUUUUUUUGCUUUCCAAGUUUGAUGCAGUUUUCUUACAAGGAAUAAGCAAAGUAUACCUCAUUGUGCAUUAGAUAUUUUGUUUUUCCAAGAAUUCACGCCCUUCCAAAUGAUUCUACAAAUUGAUUGAACAACUCCUGCAAUGAUAACAACAAACUGAAACUUCAAGCAAAGAGAAAAAAUGUAAAACACCCAAAAAAAUUUAGCAUUACAUGAAUGGUGAAAAGGACAUUCUUUUAAUAUGACUUAGACAAAAACUACACUCACAUUCAUGAAAUAGCUGCCAAUUCCUAAUGAAGGAAGUUCACUUUGUAAAAUUACAAAUUGUAAUAAUUGGUAAUUCUAUUAAUUGUAGUUUUACUAAAAUAUCGUGUUAUAAUUUUUGGAAGAUGAAUUAACUAGUUCAUUAUAACAAUUAUUAUUUUGUAUGUAACUUAUGUAUAUUUUUAAUAGUUUUUUCAUGGGCCCCAACAUUUAGGAUUGACCAUGAAAAGUGCAAGCAGUUUUUGAAGAAAAUCUUAGCAAAGAACCCAAGUUCUCAAAAACUAGAAAAAAAUUAAUAUUUAUUGGGCGAAUUUAUAGUUUUUGGGUACUUGAAAAUCUUAGAAUUUACCUCGAAUUUACCGUUCCAAUUGUUUCAUUCUUGUUAAGUCAAUACUGGUUAAACCUUAUAAGUUUAUAUUUUUAUGACCUUUUUUAAAAAAGUGAAAUGUGUUUCCCAAACACAAAACUUCACCCAAUAGCUUAACAAGGAAAAUAAUUAACAAACAAGCAUCGGGGAGUAAUAAGCAAAACUUAAAAGCUACUGAGGAAAGAGAAAAACUUACAGCUGUGGGAGCUUCGUUUUUAUUAAUCAUCACAGGCAUUCGAGGUUAAAUAAUGUAGCACUAAUAUAUAUUUCAGGAAUAUGAGCAAUUUUUGACCAGUACUCUCCCUGGUCAAAUUCUAGGAGUGGUUCGAGCAAUGGGCAUUUGUAAAUAGAUAGUUUAGAGAGGGAAGAGGGCAUCCCUUUUACUGGAAGUGAUUGGAGAUUAGGGCAAUUCUCGAUGGUCAGCGUAGAGAGGGAGGAGGGAAACACUGAUUCUUCAAGAGAUUGGAGUUGAGGGAAAUUGAUGAUGUAUAGAUUUUGAAGCGAAUUGAGGUGCUGAAGACCUUGUAGUGAAUGGAGCUCAUCAUGGUGGAAUAAACUUAGCUCAGAAAGAGAGGAGGGAAGCCCUUGUUCCACCAGUGACUGAAUUUGAGGUAAAUUCCAAGUCCAUAGGGAUUCAAGAGAGGUGAGGCUUUUGAGAAGUUGGCUGCUUAAUGUUUUCAGAUUGUCUAUGGUAAGCCUUCGAAUAGAGCAAGGCAGCUCCCAAUUCUCACCACCAACAAUCUCUUCGUCACUGUCAUCGUGGGUGAUGUACAACUCUCUGAGAGAGGGGAGUCUCUGUAAACACCACUCCUUUCGGCCGUUCACCAGUUUCUCGCAAUUGUUGAUGCCAAGGAAUUGUAAAUUGAAGGGCAAUCCUCCAUCAGGAAAGGACUCUAUUUCUGUACAAUUCCACAGUGUCAGUUCCUUAAGAGAGGGAAGGAGUUCUGGCAGCUGCUUCAGUUUUUUGAGAUCUUCAAUACUCAACCCACAUGCCACUGAAGAAAGCAGUAUUUCAAGAUUCUCACAACAACUAAUAUAGAGUCUUUCAGUCCCAUUAGGAAUCAAAAACCUAAUAAGGUUUUGGCAUCUCUGUAUCCUCAAAUAGCGCACUGUUGGGACCAACUCAGGUGAUGAUAUAGAAUCACAUUCAUCCCGUUCCAAUUCCUCCAGAAAGAUGUUAGAAUUCAUCUUACUACUAUCUGGUGCCUCCAAUUUCAAUUUCUGGCAAUGACGUAUCCUUAUUGUCUUCAAGGUACUCGGCAGAGUGCUAAUAGGCAAGGAGGUAAGAGAGAUGCAAUCACUAAUAUCUAGUUCCUCAAUCUGCUUCAUUCCCUCAAAUUGGGAGGUAAACUGCUCAGCUUCAUCAAAGACAACUCCAGCCUUAGGAGAACCAUCAACUUGAAAACUUUUUAGACUUGAAAGUUGGAUGGGUGUCUCCAAAUUGAGUUCAGGACAUCUUGAGAUUCUCAAAUUCGUCAGAGAACAGAGAUUCUCAGGGAACUUCCCAACCAACUUGGGGCAAUCAUAAAUGAAAAGGUUCCGAAGUGCUUGAAACUCUCCGUUCCCUAGUACGUCCCACCGCUUCCACUCUGGCAUCUUUGCAAAUUUAAGCUCCUUGAGAGAGUUUAAAGGCUUUUCAGAGGACAGACUACCAUAGAAGUUCUCCGUUAUAUCUGUUAUCGAAUGCAUCUCUCUAAUGGAAAGGAAUUUCAAACGAGGAAGUUGUCCUAGUGCAGGCAAGGAAAAACAGUCCUUGCAGUUGCUAAGAGACAAUCGUACUAGCAGCUUAAGAAACGAAUGAUCAGCUAGCCAGUUUGGAAAUUGUGUCCCUCUAUAUCCGGAGAUUUCGACUUCUUUUAUUUUUGUGUGUGGACGUAGCUCAUCAAGUAUGUCUCUUUCGGUUUGUGAAUUGUCUGCAAUACUUCCCUGUUCACUCCACUUCAAUGAUAACUUCUCAACAUGUUCCUUUUCCCUCAUCUUUGCCUUCAGAGCUUCCCUUUUAUCAACCACAUUUUGCAACUCUAAAAUUGAUAGAGAUCCAUACAAGUUAUGUAGCUCACCCAAAUCUUCCAUUCUCCAACCACAGCAGCCACCUAAAAGAAAUUCAGCUCCCACUAGAACGUGGAGGCUUUUCAGCUUGCUCAGAUGUAGCGGCCACUUCAAGUGGAAAGUAGUGUUGCUAAUGUCAAGGUGCCGCAAGUUGAUUAGCUUUUCCAUCUGCAGAGGUAACUCCUCAAGAUAUCUACAAUCUGACAGGAGAAGCGUAUCCAAGUUAUACAAUGCACAGGUAGAAUCAGGCAACAUUUUAAUCUCUGUCCGAGAAAGGUCCAAAAAUCUCAGGAGCUUUAAUCUGAUAAACAAGUCAUUUGGCAGCUCCACAAAGCCAUAACCUGACAAUGAUAAUGCCCUCAAGGAUCUUAGACUUGGUAGUAUGUUAUAAAGCACCCUCUUGCUUAGCUUAGGGAGGUAAACGUACUGGAUUUGUAUUGGAAGCAAUGUCCUCAGCUGCUCUGACUUGGAAAGCCGAUUCAAUUUCUUAAAGUCACCAACUUCUCCCAUUGAAUAGGACAAGUGCCGACUUUGUUCCAACAUAUCAGAUCCUUGGCACUCUUCCAACCUGACACAGAGUUUUGAAGAUGCAUUUUGGGCCAAAUCAUUGACAAGAUCAUGCAUUAAGAAUUUCCCUCCAUCUCUUUCAGAAGAGUCUGGGACCCUUUCGAACAAUGAUCUUGAUCUCAACUCAUCAAAGUAUUGGUUACCAGAAUGCAACUUCUGUACAAGACCAUUAGCAAUCCACAAGAAAAUAACUUGCUCUUUGCAAAAUUGAUAAUCUUUAGGAUAUAUAGCACAAUAAGCAAAACAUUGCUUCAAAUGUGCAGGAAGAUCAUUGUAGCUCAAUAUCAACGCUGGUAAUACGUCAUUCAGAGUCUGCUCCCAUAUUUCACUUCUUAAAAUGUCUUUCCACCCAUCCACCUCUGAUUUGCAGCAUAAAAUACCAGCAAUUGCCUUUAGAGCUAAAGGCAAUCCUUUGCACUUGUCUGCAAUUUGUUUUCCAACCUCUUCAAGCUCUGGAUGUUCCUUUGGAGGAUCUCUAUUUUCUAGAGAAUGUCGUUUGAAUAAAGCCCAAGAGGCUUCACUAGACAGAAUCCCCAUGUUGAUUGCCCCACUACCUAUCAUCUGGGCAACAUUCACCUUACUUGUAGUUACAAUGGUCUUACUUCCCGUAGCUCCUUGCACAAAAAGAUUUCUCAAGUCAUCCCACUCUCUGUAGUUGUCAUUCCACACAUCAUCCAGAACAAUGAGAAACCUUUUUCCAUUUAGUUUUUCCUUCAAUUUGACUUGUAGUUGAUUAAGAUUGUCAUCAACAUUCAAGUCAAAUGAGCCAAUUUCUUGAAGUAAGCCUUUUGCUAUUCUUAAAGCAUCAUAUGCUUCAGAAACACAAAACCAACCUUUCAAAUCAAAAUGAUCUAUCACCUUCUCAUCAUUGUAAGCAGCUUUAGCAAGUGUUGUCUUGCCCACGCCCCCUAUUCCAACAAUAGGGACAACAGUCAGAUUUUUUUCACUUGCCUUAGACGUUAAACGGUCAAUCAAUCGCUCUAUUUCAUUCUGCCUACCAAAGACAUCAGGUUCAACCACAGAGGUUGAAGGAGUUCUAGUUUCUCUUUUAGUCGAAGCAAAAUGCUCCUUUAAGCCAAGAUGACCAAUUUGCUUCUGCAAAUCCUACAACGUUUCAAUGGUGUCGUCCAACUUUUCCUUUAUGGUGUCUUCCAACUUCUCCUUUAUGGUGUCUUCUAAGCUCAGGUUGAGGUCACUUACUUGCUGGUUGCUUGUUUCUGCAAGAUUUCGAAGUCAACCUUCCUCCUUAAGCCUUAAAGCCUCAUAAUUGACUUCUUCCAUUAAGUUUUCAGCGCCGUCCACAGCAUCACGAAGUUCAUUAAGCCACCGGCUCACAUCUCGAUUUGAUGCCUGCUUGUUCUCCGCAUCACUUAAAUUUAAAAAAAUGACUGCAACCAUCAAUUAAAAAGUGCCACGUGUAAUUAAAUUUAUCAGUUAUUUAAAAUGUCUUCUUCGCUUCUCUUUAGAACAACCAUGUCCCCAAAUCUCCAUUGUUAUGGCAAUUGAAGCUUUGAAAAAAAAACGAUUAACUCUCUUGUCAAACUCGUCUCCACAAAAUCAAACUUAAAAGAUAAUGUUUUCAUUUAAAUCAGCGUUUAAAACAUUAAUUUCAUUUACUUUGCUUAAAAAUUUUUAAAUCAAGUUAUAUUUUGUAAUUAGAUUUUAAGGAGAUGUUCUUAUAAUGCCAAAUACAAUCUUGAAUCAUAUUUAUAAGGACGAGAAUAAUCCCAUAAACAAGUAAUGUCAAUUUUUGUAGUCAAAUAUCGGAUAUUUGUAAAGACAAAAAAAGAAUCAUCUUGAUAUUGAGAAGUAUUUCGGUAUUUAAAAUGUCAAAUAUUUGACAAUCAAUAUCACCAUCAAUCACCACCACCACCCACUUCCACCACCACAACAACCAUUGACAACCAAUAUCACUACCAACUACUAUUGUCAGCUGCUACAAAACCUAACACCUCUAUUAUUCUAAUUAUAUCCACCGCUACCGCCACCCCAAUGCUAAUAACAAUUCCAACGGCACCUCAUGAAUAUGUUUUAGAAUUCCGAAGGCUCAAAUAUGCUAUCGAAGCUCGUUUAUGUCAUUGCUGUUACAAAACAGAUUCAUCCAUGUCAUUAUUUGUUAACGGUGAUUUUUCGAAAACAACUUUGCCAUGUGUCGUCUUUCUAGAGGUCCACAUAUUUAAUUAAAAUAAAGAGAAAAGGCUCAAAUAUGGAAUCAAAGUAUCAGAAAUUGCUCAUUUACAUCAUCCAUUAAAAGUAUGGCUCAUUUAUACAAUCGCUCUUGCAAAACAGGUCCAGUAUUUGUUAAGGCAGUUUUUCAAAAGGCAUAAUACAUAAACACAAUCUUUAACUUGACAUCAAAUUAUAACUAUUACCUUUAACUUGGCCAGUGUACAAGUAUACCCUUUAACUAUACAAACACUGAAUAAAAAACACUUCAAUUUGCAACACAUAUGCAUAAAACUCAAUCACUCCUACGUGGACUAGUACUCCAACCAAAUGCUGUCACCUAAUUAAAAAGAUACACGUAGAUUUUAGAUAUUAACUUUGCCAGUGUACAAGAAGAUCAUUUAACCAUACAAAGUUGAACAAAAAAAAACACUUUAAUCAUGCAAUACAUAUGCGUGAAUAUCGCUCCUACGUGGACUAGUACUCCAAUCAAAUGCUGCCACCUAAUUAAAAAGAUACACGUAGACUUUAGAUGUUAAAAAAACUUAAUACCACCAUCACAAAUAUAUGUACUGUUUAAAAUUUUCUUUUUAAAAAAUAAUUCAUUAAAGGUUGUCUUCAUUAAAAUAACAUUCAAGUCCGAUGAAAAUUGAAAGGUCACUUAGAAGAAGAUGUGAAAUCCAAUGAAAAUCCUAUAAAAUCUCCAUCUCUUAUUCUCUUUCAAUUAAGGAAAAAUUAUUGAAAUUUUCCAUUGAAGCUUCACAAAAUAGAAGUCAUUUAAUAUGAAAUCGGCACAAUUCUUUUACAAUUUCUAGCUCUUCGGAUAUACAAAUGAAGCAUACACCAUCGUCUUAAGGAGAAACAAAAGAGCACUAGAUAAUUGAUUGUACAUUUCCUAAUUGGGUUACUUUUUCUAAUUUUUUUUUAGAGUUGUUGGAGAAAAUAAAAAGAAAAUAAAGUGGAAUUUGAUUUGUAGAAAGGGGAUAUAUAUAUAUAUAAACGAUUCAUUAAGAGUAUAACAGUCAUUUAAGCACUUUAUUUUACUAUUGGAGGCUCCAAUUUUUACUCCUCCACAUGUCAUUUUGAGUGUAAUCACUCAUUUUGUCAGGUAGGAUUGAAAUAUUUUUUUAUUCAGCUUUUGUAUAGUUAAAGAGUCUACUUGUACACGAACAAAGUUAAAGGUCAUAGUUAUAAUUUGAUGUCAAGUUAAAGGACAUGUUUAUGUAUUAUGCCAAAAAAAAAGGUUAUAUGGAAACUCUUGAAGAAAUUGAUUCACUGUUGAUGUUUGUCUCGACUUUCUUACCAUAAUUGAGUUUUUCUCCUUUCUUUUUGUUUUGUAGCAUCCAUAAUGUAGUCCUAGGGGUUUGAGAGUUUUGUUUGGGGAAAACUUUGUGAGACACAAGUGUUCUGGUAUCAUUUGUGUGAACCGCUUUUUCUUCUGAGUGAAUGAUGUGAGUUGUCUGUCUUGACAGUUUUGUAUUCUCUUUUAUAUAGUGGAUUGCUCAUCUCGUUUUGUGGAUAUAGGUCGAUUGAUCGAACCACGUUAAAUUAUUGUCUCUUUUGGUGUAUAUCUCGUUUAUCUUCUUAUGUGGUGUCUUUCAAGGUUUGCUUUGCUAGCUUCCGCAUGACACUUGAUUAUUUCGAUCCUAACAUUUAGCAAUAGCAGAGGCUAAUAUUGUCCAGGAGAUUCUCAGAUUAACAAAUAUGAAGAGCAAGAAACAUACACAACCUCAACCUGAUAGCAUCGAUAUGGAAAUGACAUAACAAAUAAACAUCCAAUCAUUUAAUAAAACAUAACUGUCCUGAAAAGGGUACAAUACACCAUUCUUUUAUUGACAACAGUUAGCAGCAAUAAGUUUAUUUGCUAAAACUACAAAAUACAGACUAAGAAAUAGCAAGGAAGUUCUUGGUUUCCAAGUAUUAGAUGUCAUGGAUGAUUUCAUAUAAAAGUUUCCAACCACAAAAUCAAACUUUGGCUCCAAGUAAAAAUCUUGCAAGAGACCUUCAAGGAUUUGACCAAAUUAUAUGGCCACAUAACAAUAUAUUUAUAAACCAUAAUGUACAACAUGUUCUUUUAUGUGUUACAUCAAACAACUUUUAUUCUCAUGGAAUGUUGGGUUCCAUUAGAGCUGUAUGUUCCAUGUGCAGCAAGGCAUGCAUCAUCUCAAGGAAGGCAAAGUGGAAACAGAUGUGUGCUGAAAAAGAACCCGCGUGUUUGGAAAUCUUCAUCCGCAUUUUUGAUUUGCGUAGUUUGUAAGCAUUCAUGUUCUUCCUUGUGAUUCCAAGAAUUGACAGACUUUAAGACAACGAAGACAAGAUUGAACAACUCCUACAAUGACAAACAAGGAAGAAAUCCUCAAAAUUAACUGUCACGAUAUCUAGACAUUGCACUGCAAUAGACGCGUUAAUUAAGACUGCGUCAUAUUUUGAACAGGCUAUAUGCAUCCGCUAAAACUAGAAGAAUUAAUAAGAGAUGAUGUUUUCUAGCAAGUAAAAUGAACUACUGUGCCACAUAUAUAAGCAUCUUGGUAACUGAAACAUGAGUAAAUCCUUUUUUGUUAUCUAACCUUGAAUUCAUUCCCAACAGGAUACACUUCAUUGUUUUUCCCUUGUUCUGAUAUUCAAACCAACACAAGAUUAAAUACCAUUGAAAGCUUCAACAGAUUUCCCGUCUCAAUUUGAGAAGAGACCUUCAAAGCUUUCCCCGUCCCAGAUAAUUUUGAGUGCUUUGUCCAAAUCCUAACAAUGAAAAUGUAAUAUAUUUACAAUAACCAUAAUGUACAAUACGUCUCUUGUGUGUUACAUUAAACAACUUUUUUCUAUGUACCUCUUUGUUAGAGGUGUAUGUUCCAAUUGCAGCAAGUCAUGCUUCAUCUCAAGUAAGUCAAAAUAGACGGCUAUUACUGCCGUUGUCUUUAUGUUCAAUCUCCAAUCCACAAAUGCCAUGUUGUUGAAACGUCGAAGAUCAACGAAUAAAACUACUUAAUGAAAAAAAGAACAAUGUUUGAAAAUCUUCUUUCAAUAUUUUUUUUUGCUUUCCAAGCUUGAUGCAGUUUUCUUACAGGGAAUGGGCAAAAUAUACCUCAUUGUGCAUUAGAGAUUUUAUUUUCCCGAGAAUUCAUGCCCUCCCAAAUGAUUCCGCAAAUUGAUUGAACAACUCCUGCAUUAAUAACAAGGAACUGAAACUAGCUAACAAACAAGCAAGGAGAAUUUUUUUUAAAAUAACUGGAAGGUUAUCCGAAGUGUUGUUCCCAGUAGCAUGAACUUCAUCCUCAGAUGAGUUUACCAACGAUCCUUACACAUGGUUCAAGCAAUGGACGUCGUACAUACAUAAUUCAGAGAUAGGGAACUUAAUGACUACCAGAAUGUAGAAGGAUGAAGGAAGACCUUAAUCGACACUGAUUGAAUACAAUCAUUUACCCCGGAGCACCUCUUCCUUGGUCAAGGAAUCUUCAAGAAUACAAGAUUUGCUAUUGCAAGAAACUUCAAGCGAAGAGACAAAUGUAAAACAACGAAAAAAUUUAGCACUACAAGAAUGGUGAAAAGGAGUCUUUUACUAUGAUUUAGGCAAAAACUAGACUCACAUUCAUGAAAUAGCUGUGAAUUCCUAAUGAAGAAAGUUUAUUUUCCUUUCACCAACUGAGCUAAGAACAUAUUGUUACCAAAAUCCUGAUCAUGACUAUUUUUAAUAGCUUUUAGAACUUGUAGGUAUAAAUUAUAUUUUAUGGUUUUUUUUCCUUAAAAAGUGAAAUAUGUUUCUCAAAAACUAUGACCAAACACAAAACUUCACCCAACAGCUUAACAAGGGAAAAUAUUUAACAAACAACCACUGGGGAAAAAGAAAAACUUACAUCUGUGGGAGCUUGUUUUUUAAUAAUAAUCACAGGCAUUCUGAUCCGUGGACAAAUUUUGUAACACCGAUAUGUAUUUCAGGAAUAUGAGCAAUUUCUGGCCAGUACUCCCCCUUGUCAAAUUCUAGGAGUGGUUUGAGCAAUGGGCAGCUGCAAAUAGAUAGUUUAGAGAGGGAAGACGCGAUCCAUUUUAUUGAAGGGAUUGGAGGUUAGGGCAAUCGCUGAUGGUCAGCUCAGAAAGAGAGGAGGGAAGCCCUGAUUCUGCAAGAGAUUGGAGAUUAGGGCAAUCCUCGAUGGUCAGCGUCGAGAGGGAGGAUGGCAGCGCUGAUUCUGCAAGGGAUCGGAGAUUAGGGCAAUCCUUGAUGGUCAGCUCAGAGAGGGAGGAGGGAAACACUGAUUCUGCAAGAGAUUGGAGAUUAGGGCAAUCCUCGAUGGUCAGCGUAGAGAGGGAGGAGGGCAGCGCUGAUUCGGGAAGUUAUUGGAGAUUAGGGCAAUCCUCGUUGGUCAGCUCAGAGAGGGAGGAGGGAAGCCCUUGUUCCAGCAGUGUCUGAAUUUGAGGCAAAUUACAAAUAUCUAGAGAUUCAAGAGAGGUGAGGCUUUUGAGAAGUUGGCUGCUUAAUGUUUUCAGAUUGCAUAUUUCAAGACUACGAAUAGAGCAAGGCAGCUCCCAAUGCUCACCACCAACAAUCUCUUCGUCACUGCCAUUGUGAUGGAUGCGUAACUCUCUGAGAUAGGGGAGUCUCUGUAGACGCCACUCCUUUCAGCCGUUCACCAGUUUCUCGCAAUCGAUGAUCCAAAGGAGUUGUAAAUUGAAGGGCAAUCCUCUAUCAGGAAAGGACUCUAUUUCUGGACAACCAGACAGUUUCAGUUCCUUAAGAGAUGGAAGGAGUUCCUGCAUACUUUCUUGCAUCCGCUUCAGCUUUUUGCAAUUCCAAAUACUCAAUGAUGUCAUCUGGGUCACACAUGCCACCGAAAGUAUUUCAAAAUUCUCACAAAACCCAAUAUAGAGCGUUUCAGUCCCAUAAGGAAUCAAAAACCUAGUAAGGUUUUGGCAACUGUAUCCACAAAGUGUGUGCUCUUGGGUCAAACAGUCUCAAUUCCUCCAGAAGCAUGUUAAAAUUCACCCUACUACUAUCUGGUGCCUCCAAUUUCAAUUUCCGGCAACGACAUAUCCAUAUUGUCUUCAACAUACUCGGAAGAGUGCUAAUAGGCAAGGAGGUAAGAGAGUUGCAACUUCAGGACGAAAGUGAGUUCAGGACAUCUUGAGAUUCUCAUCUUCGUCAGAGAACAAAGAUUUUCAGGCAACUUCCCCAACAACUUGGGGCAAUCUUUAAUGGAAAGGUCCUGAAGUGCAGGAAACUCUCCGAUCCCCAGUACGUGCCACUGCUUCCACUCAGGCAUCUCUGCAAAUUCAAGCUCCUCAAGAGAGUUAAAAGGCUUUUCGGAGGACAGACUACCAUAGAAUUCCUCCGUCACCUCUGUUAUCCGAUGCAUCCCUCUAAUGGAAAGGAAUUUCAAACAAGGAAGUUGUCCUAGUGCUGGCAAGGAAAAACAGUCCUUGCAGUUGCUAAGAGACAACUGUACUAGCAGCUUAAGAAACGAAUGAUCAGAUAGCCAAUUUGGAAAUUGUGUCCCUCUAUAUCCAGAGAUUCGGAGUUUUUUUAUAUUUGUGUGUGGGCGUAGAUCAUCAAGUAUGUCUCUUUCAGUUUGUGAAUUAUCGGCAAUACUGUCAGCAUCACUUUCACUCCACUCCAAUGAUAACUUUUCAACAUGAUUCUUCUCCCUCAUCUCUGCCUUCUGAGCUUCCCUUCUAUCAACCACAUUUUGCAACGCUAAAAUUGAUAGAGAUCCAUACAAGUAAUGUGCUCCACCCAAAUCUUUCAUUCUCCAACCACAGGGGCCAUCUAAAAGAAAUUUGGCUCCCAUUAGCACUUGGAGACUUUUCAACUUGCGCAGAUGUAGCGGCAUCUUCAAGCGAGAAGUGUCGCUAAUGUCAAGAUGCCGCAAGUUGAUCAACUUUUCCAUCUGCAGCGGUAGCUCCUCAAGAAGAUAACAAGAUGACAGGAGAAGUGUCUCCAAGUUAUACAAUGCACAGAUAGAAUCGGGCAACUUUUUUAUAAAUGUUUGAGAAAGGUCCAAAAAUCUCAGGAGCUUUAAUUUGAUAAACAAAUCAUUUGGCAGCUCCAUAUUCCUAUAACAUGACAAUGAUAAUGCCCUUAAAGAUGUUAGCCUUGGCAGUAUGUUAUGCGGCACCCUCUUACUUAGCUUAAGCCAAAGGUCCUGGAUAUCGAUUGGAAGCAAUGUCCUCAGCUGCUCUGAUUUGAUGAGUGAUUUCAAUUUCUCAAAGUCACCACCUAGUCCCAUUGAAUAGGACAAGUGCCGACUUUGUUCCAACAUAUUAGAUCCUUGGAAUUCUUCCAACCUGACACAAAGUUUUGAAGAUGCAAUUUGGGCCAAAUCAUUGACAAGAUCAUGCAUUAAGAAUUUCCCUCCAUCUCUUUCAGACGACUCUGAGACCCUUUCGAACGACGAUCUUGAUCUUAACUCGUUAAAGUAUUGAUUACCAGAAUGCAACUUCUGUACAAGACCAUUAGCAAUCCACAGGUGAAUAACUUGCUCUUUGCAAAAUUGAUAAUCUUUGGGAUAUAUAGCACAAUAAGAAAAACAUUGCUUCAAAUGUGCGGGAAGAUCAUUGUAGCUCAACAUCAACGCUGGUAAUAUACCAUUCAAAUUCUGCUCCCAUAUUUCACUUCUUAAAAUGUCUUUCCACUCAUCCACUUCUGAUUUGCAGCGUAAAAUACCAGCAAUUGUCUUUAAAGCUAAAGGCAAUCCUUUGCACUUGUCUGCAAUUUGUUUUCCAACCUCCUCAAGUUUUGGAUGUUCCUUGGAAUCCCUGUUAUCUAGAGAAUGUCGUUUGAAUAAAGCCCAAGAGGCUUCACUAGACAGAGUACCCACGUUGACUGCCCCACUACCCAUCAUCCGGGCAACAUUCUCCUUAUGUGUAGUUACAAUGAUCUUACUUCCCGCAGCUCCUUGUACAAAAAGACUUCUCAAUUCAUCCCACUUUUCGUAGUUGUCAUUCCACAUAUCAUCCAGAACAAUGAGAAACCUUUUUCCAUUUACUUUUUCCUUCAAUUUGACUUGUAACCGAUUAAGAUUAUUGUCAUCCUUUAUACUAUUCAUUAUUUUCAAAAUUCAAUAAUUGAGGCAAGAGAGGAAGGGUACUUGGAGCCCACUUGAGGGACUCAAAAAUAAAAUGAUAAAGGUCAUUUUCACAUCUCAUUAUAGUGUUUGUUACUUGGCCUAUAAUAUCAUGAAUAUGUUUAGCGUAUUUCUUCUUCUCGAGUGAAGUAGCUUAUUCUUUCUCUGUACACUAAGGAUUCAGACUAUGUUUAGUUCUCAUUUAUGUUUGCGCUAUGUGAGUUCUAGCUAGGAAGCAAAUACCGCAAAGGGUUAACAGGGCAGCCGCUGGUAAAAAAGGAGAUGGUACUAAAGCGGCAGGCUCUUAGACGCUACUAGUGCAAUGACUAGUCUUAAUUAGGGCUAUGCAAAUUUCGGUUCAAACCAUUAACCCGAAUCGAUAAUUACUUUAUCGGGUUAACGGGUCGUUUUUUUUCAUUAUUGAAUCGGUUGUCGGUUUAAUAAUUUCCACUAACGGGUUAUCGGUUCGGGCCUAGGGUUUCCUUAAUUUUUAUCGGGUCACCCGAUAACCCGAUAAAAAAUGCAUAGUUGCACACUACAUCCAAUACUUAGGGCUUACCCGUCUACCGGCCCAACCCAAAACUCUGAAGGCCCAAUUUCCAAACGGCCCAACCCGUAUUACUACUUAGAGACUUAGCAACUUUACUUAGGCUUAGGGUUUCAUUUCAUUCAUUCAUUCAUCUUCUUUUAGUUCUCAAUUUUCACAUCGGUUCGAAGACAUCGCAAUCAGCCUCUCUCGAGUCUCGACUCUCAGUCAGUCAGUCAGUCUCUCUCAGUAUUCAAACUUCAAAGUCUAUUUUUGCUGAAACAUCAGUAUUCAAGCUUGAUUUUGCUGAAAACUGAAGAGACCCAAGUCGAUUUUUGCUUUUGCUCUCAGCAGUCAACAGGUAAGAAUUUUUGUUUUUUCUCGAUUUCAUUCUUACAAGUCUUCUGCUAAUCUGCUUCAUCUUCAAUUUCUGUCCAAAGCAUUGCUACUGCUAAUCGGCUAAUUCUAUUAACCUUUAAGAAUUUAACUGCUUGGAAUUAUUGGUAUAAAUGAGUGAAUUGAAGCACAAAGAAGAAGAAAUUUUUCUUAACUGUUCUCUGAAGUUAAAUAUUCAGAAGAAAUUUUGUUUUAUGGAUAUUACGAUUAUUAUUUAUUGUUGAACUAGAUAUGAUUGUCAGUUGAAGUGAAAAAUAGAUGGAUUUUAAAAAGUCGGUCAAAGUUCGUGAUGUUUGAAUAUUGAGAAGCGAAAAGUGGCACAAACUUUUGGACAGAGGACGACAGGGGGUCCUUUUUUUUUUUUUUUUUUUGGAGAGAGCAUCAUGAUUGCAUCGCUCUGUUAUCUGUAUGAACUCAGUUUGCUUACUUCAUCGCCUAAAGUUCUGUUAAGUCUUCUUUCUUACCUGUAUUUUUGUUUCUAGGAGAUUAUCUGACUAGGCUAGCAGAUUUUUGAAAUUAUUGUUUAAGUUGUGCUGAGUUUGCAAUAUUUUUUCCCUGUAUUUAUCAUUGACAGUGACUUGGAGGGUCUGGUGUUUAUGCUUGAGUAGUAUUAUCAGUUGUUCUUUGCUAAUUGUUUGAGGUUCUUUUGAUUCUAAAAACUUGGGAUCUCUCUAUACAUUCUCUUAUUUUAGCUGUUGUUAGUAUAUGAUUCCAAAUUUAAUGCUUAUCGGGUAUCAUAAAAAUCUCAUCUUUUUAUGUUCACACCGCCCAUCAGAUGUCUUUACCACUUACAGUGUAAUGCUGUACAAUAUUUGAAAUUCUUGCUUAAGUUGUGUGCAAUUUGCUAUAUGUUUUCAAUGCACUCAUCAGUUAUGAUAGCAACUUGAGAGGGUCUAUUGUUUAUUCAUUUGUAGUUAACUCAAUCACUUUUUGUUAUGCUGAGGUUCUUUUGAUUCUAAAAAAUUGUGCUCUCUCUUUAGAUUCUCUAAUGUUAACCACGGUGAGGAAAUAAGUACAUAUGAUUUUGAGUUGAAUCUCUAUCGGGUAUCAUAUGAAUCUCAUCCAUUUCUAUUCACACUGCAUAUCAAAUAUCAAAUUGAGUAGUCUAUUCUAAUUCUUAAGUAAAUUGAUGAUUCUAGCGAUACCAGCAUCUAGAAGUUGUGAAUAUGGAAACAUUUGUGAAUAUGGACACUCUAUCUGCUGCUUCGUAUAUACCAAAUUCAAGUUGGAUAAUGCAACAAAGCAAGAGCACCAAAUGAACGUUGCUGAUCAUCUCUAUUGUUCUUUGUUCUUUGAAGAAAAUAAAAGUGUACUUUGCUGUUUGUAAUGCAUAAUAUUUAAUUCAGCUUUGGCUUCUUUUUUUCUUCGGAGAUGAAAUCAUUUUCUCUUCAUUAAAAGCUGACAUUUUUUUUUUUGGAAAAGGGCUAAAAGUGCACUAGUUUUACAAACAAUAAGGACUAUUUUAGUGCUUCAAGUGAAAGAAGAGUGAUGAUUUUGAACUUAAGUCCGAAGGGACUAUUUUGGGACUUCAAUUUGAUAAAUUUUUGCAUAGAUGUGGAUUGCCCUGUUUAAAUUUUUUUUCUCAUCUAACUAGAGAUUUCAUCUUUUAAAUGGAUAAGCAUAUAGAGAAAACAAAGCAUGGCAGAGCGAAUUCUCAGCUUGGGAGUCCUCAUAGAUAUUGUGGAUGAAGAAUGGAUGCGAGAUACUCUGCCCGCUGAUGGUAUGAUACUUAUUCAAUUAACAUAAUCACUCCUCUAUGCUUCAGUACCAGUUUAGUUGCAGUCGACUACAUCAAUCUUAUCAAUUGCUUACCCUCAGCGUGCUUAAGCUCUCAAGUGUGGUCAAAGAUAAUGAUGUGUUGCCUCAACUAGGCAGCACUCGAUUUCGCUAGUGAGACACUAAGUCUGUGCAUCAAACCUGGUAGCGGUUUGGACUGCGUACAUUUUACCCUACCCAGACCCCCCCCCCCCCCCCACCCCCACUUUAUGGGAAUAUACUGGGUUUGUUGUUGUUGUAUUGGCAGGCUUAAAAAUUCUCUAAGGCUAGAGGUUUUCCAAAUCACAUACUUAUCUUAAUUUAGUUAUAUAAUUCUCCCUUCCAUUUCAAAUUGAUUGACCUGUUUUGACUUGGUACGGGGUUUAAGAAAAUAAAGAAGACUUUUGAAUCUUGUGGUCUUAAAUUAAAGUUAUGUCAAAUGUACCAAAAUGCCCUUUAAUCUUGUGGUCUUAAACACGCCAUGUGGAAAAUUGAAAUCAAAGAGUUUCUAAAAAAGGAAAAUGGCCAUUCUUUUUAAACGGAUUAAAGAGAAAGUAGGUCAAACAAAUUGAAACGGAGGGAGUAAUUGUUAUCGUCUUAAAAUUUUCUCUUUUUUAUUUUUCCAUUUUCCAUGUAUCUUUGUAGCUUAACUACUUAAGAAUUGACAAAUGUUAGAAUUUUCUGAUGGUGCUUUUAAUUCAUCCUUUUCCGCAGAUCUCCCUUUACCACCUGUACUACUUCCAAAGACAGAUGACAACGAAGACUCAAGUAAGUAUUACUUGUAUUCAUACGCUUGGGAAAUAUUGAAUGUUGAUAUGCUUUAUUACUUAAUUGUUGGUCUGGGUAUGAAAUAUGAAGUCAAAAUCUCACAAGUUAAGACUUUAAAAUAUCGCCAUGUUAUGUUAGAACAAAAUGCCUGUAAAGUGAGUAGCUGUUUUGUGGCUUCUAGCUCUUGGCCCCUUUUUGUUAAGUGUUGCAGUGCCCUAGAUAGGAGUACGUUUUAACACAAAAUUUCCUUGGUUAAGUACUUCAUAUGUGGUUACAUUUCUUUUUGAAAAGAAAUCUGAAAAAAGUCAUCUCUGAUAUUUCUCUAGUAGGUUGUGCAAACGUGUGAUAACAUUCCCUAAAUUUUAAUCUAGCCUCUGUUCAUCCAUGAUUGGUGUGUACUGAAGUGCUUCCCUAACUUGUUCUCUGUGAUGUUAAACCCCUUGCAAUAUACAUCAUUCAGCUAGUAUCAUGUGGAUUUUGCUUAUAAUCAUUUGAUGGAAUAUUAAUGAGUACUUGAUGCUAUAGUUGGGUUAUUUCUGAAAUGGGUUUUGGCAUAAGCAGAGAUCAGGAACACUUGCACAUGGAUGUAAUUUAGAUAUUUCCUGGUGUGCUCACAUUCUAUUGAGUUUUGAUAUCAGGAAUCUUACAUUCAGUGAGUUACGGAACAGAUUAGUUUGUUGGUUCUUUUCAUGCUGACUACUUUCCCUAUCAGUUCUGAUACUUGGAUAAUUGAAUUGCAUCCUUUUGCAGAUCAAGAGGCUCCACAAGUUGGAGAUACAUGGCACGACCUUGCAUUGGAAAAUCAACGACAUUAAUGAUCAACCUCGUGUGUUUGAUUUGCAACCAUUAUAGUCAUAUAUAUUUGUUGGUCAUGUACUUGAUUAGCAUUGAUGGUUGUUUGAAAACUAACUUCGACUGUUCUUUCUUUUGAUAUGUUGGUCUGUUGUCUGUUAGUCUAGUGGUAUGAGUGCAGCAGCAUGUAAUGUGUGGGUCAGCACACAUCAUUGAGUUUGAACCUUACUGCAUACAAAUAUUCGGUAUGUAAGUGGAGAAAGGUUAAGAGGGUCGGGACACCUUGGCGCCAUUGAUCCUAGUUGUCUUGGCAAUCUGUGCUCUCCAAAUGGAAUAGAUUCAGGGAAUGCUAGCAUGUUAGCGGAUGUUAAGGUCAUUCCUACUCAUAGUUUAUACCAAAUUGAGUUGUCUUUGUUUAAUUUAGUAGUUUAAUCUCGAAAUAAUUUGUUCCCAAUCAAAUCCAAGUGCAGCAAAUCUUCAUCUGCAUUUUUGAUUUGCGUAGUUUCUAACCAUUCAUGUUCUUCCCUGUGAUUCCAAGAAUUGGCAGACUUUAAGACAACGAAGACGAGAUUGCACAACUCCUACAAUGACAAACAAAGAAGAAAUCCUCAAAAUUAACUGAACAUGAGUAAAUCCUUUAUUUUUAUCUAACCUGGAAUUCAUUCCGAACAGGAUACACUUCGUUGUCUUUCCCAUUCAAACCAACACAAGAUUAAAUACCAUUGAAAGCUUCAACUGACUUCCCAUUAGAUCUUUAAGUUGCUUGGUGUCCGGUGAUUUUGGUUCCAGCGAUGAUUUGGAAAUCACUGGACACCAGGCGACUUGCAAAUCGCUCACCAACAACGUUUUGUCCCCUUUGGUUUCUUUCCAAAUCAAGUGUCUCCUAUGAAAUUUUUGGUCAAAAAAUUAGCCUUUUUGGCUCUGGACUCCAAUAAUAAUCAUGUCAUCUUUUGAUUUUCGUUGGCUUAGACAUAUUUAGAGUAACAAGAAAGUCAUUGUCACAUCCCAGACAAAUAUCACAUUGACAAAACACUUGAAAGACGUUGAUUGUUAAUAUAUUUGAAAGUUAGCCGUUGAUUGUUAAUAUAUUUGAAAGUUAGCCGUUGAUUGUUAAUAUAUUUGAAAGUUAGCCUUAGAUCUUGCAACACAUUUUAAAGUCGCGCAGGCCUAAUCGGAAACCAAAAGCCAACAAUAGAAGCUAUCACAUCCAUAGUCCCUGAUGUCCAAUCCAACAUGAGAAUAAAAUACUAGUUAAAGCUUCUACAACUUGAGCAGAGACACCUACAAAACGUUCUACUUCCCAAAUAAUUGUUGAGCCUCGUCAAAAUCCUAACAAUGAAAAAGCAAGAUCUUUCCUUAUAAUCUAUUACCACAAUAUACAACAUGUUCGUUUAUGUGCUACGUUAAACAACUUUUAUUCUCAUGUACCUUUGGGUUUCAUUAGAGCCGUAUGUUCCAUAUCGAUUCAGUUUUUGAUUGCAUAGUUUCUGACAGUUCAUGCUCUUUCCUGCGAUUCCAAGAAUUGAUGGAUUUAAGACAGCGAAGACAAGAUUGAACAACUCCUACAAUGACAACAGGUCAACAUCGAAAUCAAACUGAUAGACAAACAAAGAAGAAAUCCAAACUUACUAUCAUGUUAUCUAGACAUUUGAUUGCAAUAUACGUGUUAAGUAAGACUAUCAUAUUUUGAAAAGCUUAUAUGCAUCUAAGACUAGAAGAUUUAAUAAGAGAUGGCUCUUUCUUGGUUAUGCUGUCAAUUCUAAAGAUUUACAGAAUUUGGGUGGAUCAAAGAGAUUGCAGCGAAGAAUUGAUCUGAAAAAAUCCAAUAGUAGGUAAAACCAACCGAAACCCCUGCUUUUUCCCGCAUGACAGCGAGGAGUCAAUUGAAUGAUCAAAGCAUCGGUUGCUUCCAAUUGUGACCUUCGACCGCCUUGACACCUUAAUAGCAAGGAACUCCCCUAUUCCACAAGCAAGUGGAGAUCUGGGGGGUCGGAAACCCCAAUGGGAAACCUUUCACCGCGUCACAUGAUUCCUGAAUAGCCAUACUGAGGAAUUCUACCACACUCCGUGCACUAUGGUUGUUGAUCCUGUGGAGUCUAUCCAAAGGGUUCAAGCUAGAAUGUCCCGAUAUUGUCAAAUUCCACACAAAAGAGAAGCACUUCACUUACAGUUUCCUGGCAGAUCACACUUGAGGUGAUUGUCUUUCCUUUCACCAACUGAGCUAAAAUGUUGUUACCGAAAUCCUGAACAAGAAAAAAAAGAGUUAAAACUUGCUAUUAGUUGAGGAAAGAUAUUCAUUGUUCUGAUUCUUUUAGAUGUUAAAUUAUCUGGAAACAAUCUCUUGUAUUUUUGACAUAUAGGUACUAAGAUUCUACACGUUACCAAAGCACAAGGGUGGACAUGUGCAGCUCUAAAUCACAUCCUCCUUUCUCAAGUAACUGGAAAAGGAGAAAAACAAGAAUUAUUUGAUGAAACGUCAAGCUACAUGAACCAGGCAGGCGUAUUUGCAACGGUACAUCUAUUUUAUCUUUAGCAUUUUCAAAUAAAAAAUGACACAUAUUUCAAAAGACUUAUACAUCGGGGAUGACAUAUCAACGCAUUGUGAAUGAUAAAAAAAGGUCUUUUUUUUCACAAUGUAUAAAAAUUUCUGGAGAUGCAAACUAUUACCUUUUAUUUGUCAUUUUUCAUGCUAAUCUGAAGAUGAUCUCCCGGCUUCACAGUGGCAAUAGACGCUACACACUGCUCUAUAAGAUUUCACUAUGUAAAAGAAUUAGUAAACAAGCAAAGAGAAAAAACAAAAAAUAAAAACUACUGAAAAGAAAAAGAAACGGAACAACUCACAUUUAUAGAGCACCAAUCGUUUUGAUCAUUGCAGGUGCUCCCGACCAAUCUCGAUGUAGGAGAUAUAAGCAAUUUAUGACAAGUAUAAUCCCUUUCUCAAAUUCUAGAUGUGGUUCGAGCAACAGGCAGUUGGAAAUACAUAGUUCAGACAUGGAAGCUGGUUCUGCAAGCGAUUGGAGAUUACGUCAAUGAUAUAUAUGCAGCUCAGCGAUUGAACAACUCCUACAAUGCCAAUGAUCAAAUGCUAAAUCAAGAUAAUAGGCAAGAAAAGGCAAAUUCCACAGAAUAAACUGUCAAGUUAUCUAGAUAUUAAAGCAUACCGAAUGAAGUACAUCCGAAUGAAAAAGAACUGAGUAUGAAAAUUUUCCUUCAAAUCUUUGCUUUAAUGUAGUCUAAAUUACAGGGAAUAGUCAAAACAUACUACCUGAUUGUGAAAUAGUGAUUUCAUAUUCAAGCAUUUGUGCACUUCUUAGUGAUUCUGCAAAUCGAUCGAACAACUCCUGCAAAUAUAAUUGUCAGGUUAUCCAGACAGUAAUUAGUGUUUCCAAUAGCACGAUCUUCAUCUCUGGACGAAAAACAAAAAGCUACUGAAAUGAAAAAAUGUGUUCACUUACAUGUAACAACUUUCAUGACGGAGAAUAAUUUCCAUUCUGCAAUAUUUGAGGGAGAACAUAGGUUAAUAGACAAGACAAGGUCUUCACAAGAAUAUUAAUAGUCAAGUAAGAUGAAUAAUGAGAUACAUAACAAGAAUACAUGAAUGGAUGCUGAGAUGAAUCUCCAAAGACAAUAAACACAUAUGUCCAUGGUAACAGAUUACUAGUUCAUUAGUGUUAAGCUAAGCUAUCAACUUUCUGGAGCAAAUUAAAGAACAGCUAGUCACUACCAUUGUUAUUAUUAAUUUAUUUUGCAUUGAUAGAUCUUCAUAACUAGUUGUAAUUUGACAAAUUGUAAAAGCUGGCAAUUUCAUUACUAGUAGUUUUAAGAAAAUUUUGUGCUACAUUUUUAGAGGUACGAAUUAUCUAGUUCAAAUCUCUGUCAUAACUUUUGGUUAUUUUUAAUAGUUUUUAGAACUUAUGGACAUAAAUUAUGUUUCCUGCUUUUUAAAAAAAAAAAAAGAAAAAGAGUGAAAUUUGUUUCCUAAAAAUCACGUGUUGAAACAUCACCUAGAUUUGAUUUCACCAAAAUACUUGAGAAUCCAUUGGCUUCAGAGUGGCGAUAGACAAUUUGCACUGCCUAAAUAUUUAAAAAAGGAAAAUAAUGAACAAACAAGCAACGGGAGGUAAGGGGAAAAAAAAUAAACUAGUGCAGUAAAAGAAUAACUUACAUCUGUCGGAGAGCAAUUUGUUUUCAUCAUCACAUGACUUCUCCAUGGAUAUAUAUUACAGGGAUAUGAGCAAUUUUUGACCAGUACUCUCUGUUGUCAAAUUCUAGGAGUGGUUUGAGCAAUGGGCAGUAGCGAAUAGAUAGUUUAGAGAGGGAGGAGGGCAUCCCUUUUACUGGAAGGGAUUGGAGAUUAGGGCAAUCCUCGAUGGUCAGCUUAGAGAGGGAGGAGGGCAGUGCUGAUUCGGGAACUGAUUGGAGAUUAGGGCAAUCAUUGAUGGUCAGUUUAGAGAUGGAGGAGGGCAGCCCUUGUUCCAGCAGUGACUGAAUUUGAGGUAAAUUACAAAUAUAUAGAGAUUCAAGAGAGGUGCGGCUUUUUAGAAGUUGGCUGCUUAAUGUUUUCAGAUUCCUUAUUCUAAGACUUUGAAUAGAGCAAGGCAACUCCCAAUUCUCACCACCAACAAUCUCUUCAUCACUGUCAUUGUGGUAGAUGUACAACACUCUGAGAGAGAGGAGUCUCUGCAGACGCCACUGGCUCCUUUCGUCCGUUCACCAGUUUCUCACAAUAGAUGAUCUCAAGGAGUUGUAAAUUGACGGGCAAUCCUCUAUCAGGAAAGGACUCUAUUUCUGGACAACUAGACAGCUGCAGUUUCUUAAGAGAGGGAAGGAGUUCCUGCAUACGUUCUGGCAGCCGCUUCAGCUUUUUGCAAUCGUGGAUGUCCAAUGACGUCAUCUGGGUCCCACAUGCCACCGAAAGUAGUAUUUCAAGAUUCUCACACCAGCUAAUAUCGAGUGUUUCAGUCCCAUUAGGAAUCAAAAACCUAGUAAGGUUUUGCAACUCAGUAUCCACAAAUUGCGUGCUCUUAGAACCAACUCAGGUGAUGAUAUAGAAUCACAUUCAUCCAGUCGCUAUUCCUCCAGAAACAUGUUAGAAUUCAUCUUACUACUAUCUGGUGCCUCCAAUUUCAAUUUCUGGCAACUCUCUAUCCUUAUUUUCUUCAAAGUACUCGGCAGAGUGCUAGUAGGCAAGGAGGUAAGAGAGUUGCAAUGACUAAUAUCUAACUCCUCAAUCUGCUUCAUUCCAUCAAGUUGGGAUGUAAACAGUUCAGCUUCAUCGAAGACAACUCCAGCCUUACGAGAACCAACAACUUCAAACCUUUUUAGACUUGACAGUUGGAUGGGUGUCUCCAAAUUGAGUUCAGGACAUCCUGUAAUUCUCAAUUUUGCUAGAGAACAAAGAUUCUCUGGGAACUUCCCCAACAACUUGGGGCAAUCUUUAAUGGAAAGUUUCCGAAGUGCGGAAACUCUCCGUUCCCUAGUACGUGCCACUGCUUCCACUCAGGAAUCUCUGCAAAUUCAAGCUCCUCAAGAGAGUUAAAAGGUUUUUUGGAGGGCGGACUACCAUAGAAUUCUACCGCCACCUCUGUUAUUCGAUGCAUCCCUCUAAUGGAAAGGAAUUUCAAACAAGGAAGUUGUCCUAGUGCUGGCAAGGAAAAACAAUCCUUGCAGUUGCUAAGAGACAAUUGUACUAGCAGCUUAAGAAACGAAUGAUCAGCUAACCAAUUUGGAAAUUGCAUCCCUCUAUAUCCGGAGAUUUGGAGUUCUUUUAUGUUUGUGUGUGGGCGUAGCUCAUCAAGUAUGUCUCUUUCAGUUUGAGAAUUGUCAGCAUCACGUGCAAUCCAUUCCAACGACAACUUCUCAACAUGAUUCAUCCCCUUCAUGUUUGCCUUCUGAGCUUCCCUUCUAUCAACCACAUUUUGCAACACUAGAAUUGAUAGAGAUCCAUACAAGUUAUGUAGCUCACCCAAAUCUUCCAUUCUCCAACCACAGGAGCCACCUAAAAGAAACUUGGCUCCAACUAUCACUUGUAGGCAUUUCAACUUGCUCAGAUGUAGCGGCAUCUUCAAGCGAGAAGUGUUGCUUAUGUCAGGGUGCCGCAAGUUGAUUAGCUUUUCCAUCUGCAGCGGUAACUCCUCAAGAUAUGUACAAGAUUACAAGAGAAGUGUCUCCAAGCUAUACAAUGCACAGAUAGAAUCGGGCAACUUUUUAAUCUCCGUCUGAGAAAGGUCCAACAAUCUCAGGAGCUUUAAUUUGAUAAACAAGUCAUUUGGCAGCUCCACAAUCGCAUAAUGUGACAAUGAUAAGGCCCUUAAGGAUCUUAGACUUGGCAGUAUGUUAUGCAACACCCUCUUGCUUAGCCUAGGGGGAAAAGGCGCUGGAUUUUUAUUGGAAGCAGUGUCCUCAGCUGCUCUGACUUAGAGAGCGGUUUCAAUUUCUCAAAGUCACCACCUAGUCCCAUUGGAUACGACAUAUGCCGACUUUGUUCCAACAUAUGAGAUCCUUGGCACUCUUCCAACCUGACACAAAGUUUUGAAGAUGCAAUUUGGGCCAAAUCAUUGACAAGAUCAUGCAUUAAGAAUUUCCUUCCAUCUCUUUCAGAAGACUCUGGGACCCUUUCGAACAACGAUCUUGAUCUCAACUCGUUAAAGUAUUGAUUACCAGAAUGCAACUUCUGUACAAGACCAUUAGCAAUCCACAGGUGAAUAACUUGCUCUUUGCAAAAUUGAUAAUCUUUGGGAUAUAUAGCACAAUAAGCAAAACAUUGCUUCAAAUGUGCAGGAAGAUCAUUGUAGCUCAACAUCAACGCUGGUAAUAUACCAUUCAAAUUCUGCUCCCAUAUUUCACUUCUUAAAAUCUCUUUCCACUCAUCCACCUCAGAUUUGGAGCAUAAAAUACCAGCAAUUGCCUUUAGAGCUAAAGGCAAUCCUUUGCACUUGUCUGCAAUUUGUUUUCCAACCUCCUCAAGUUCUGGAUGCUCCUCGGGAUCCCUAUUUUUUAGAGAAUGUUGUUUGAAUAAAGCCCAAGAGACUUCACUAGACAGAGUCCCCACGUUGAUUGCCCCACUAUCCAUCAUCCGGGCAACAUUCUCCUUACGGGUAGUUACAAUGAUCUUACUUCCCAUAGCUCCUUCUACAAAAAGAUUUCUCAAGUCAUCCCACUCGUUACAGUCAUCAUUCCACAAGUCAUCAAGGACAACAAGAAAUCUUUUUCCCUUUAGGCUUUCCUUCAAUUUUACCUCUAGCUUAUUGAGAUUGUUGUCAUCCUUUAAGUCAAAUGAUCCAAUUUCUUGAAGUAACCCUUUAAUGCCUCAGAAACACAAAACCAAGCUUUCAAGCCAAAAUGAUCUUUCACCUUUUUAUCAUUGUAAACAAUUUUAGCAAGUGUUGUCUUGCCCAUGCCCCCCAUUCCAACAAUAGGGACAACAGUCAAUUUUUUUUCACUUGCCUCCUUAGACACUAAAUAGUCAAUCAAUCGCUCUUUUUCAAACAUUCUACCAAGGAUUUUAGAUUCAUUGACCAAAGAAGUUGAAGGUGUUCUAGUUUCUAGUUUCUUACCCAAAUCUAAAUGCUUCUGUAAGCCAAGGCGACCGAUUUGCUUUUCCAACACCUCCAAUUUUUUAAUGGUGUCUUCCAACUUCUCUUCUAUGUAAAGAAAAUAAUCAUCACUCAAGCUCAAGUUGAGGUCACUUACUUGCUGGUUACUUGUUUCUGCAAGAUUUCGAAGUCCACCUUGAGCCCCAAAGCCUCAUAAUUGACUUCUUCCAAGAGGUUUUCAGCGCCGUCCAUAGCACGCUGAAGCUUAUUCAACCACUUCCUCACGAGUGGAUUUGAUGUCUGCUUAUUCUCUGCAUCACUUAGCACAAUCUGAAGACCAAGCAAAAUGUCCUCCAACUUCUCUAAAAGCCCAUCAUCAUAAUGCUUAUGCUUCUGAAACAUGUUGAGAAGAUCACCAUGAGGAGCAAGCCUAUCGAAGAGAACAUUCAAAGCUGAAGAGAGAAAUGCACCACCAACUGCUAAGCCAAUCUCCAUUUCUGAAAUCUACAAAGCAAA